UAAAGAAAAUCACUUAUUUGCCAACGUGUUUGAACUUUGAAAUUACACGAGCCAUCAAGCUAAACCGGCAUCUUCAUCUCCCCUCAACCUUAUAUUAUGUACAAAAAAAGAUAAAAAGAUGGGGAUGGAUUUUGAGGAAAUAGAAAUAUUUACAUAUAUAGCUAAUAUUAAUGCACAAUUAAAAAAAUAGAGAAACUUCAAAUACCAUCAUGUGAUUUCGCACUUUUUUAUUUUAACAUUCUAUAAUUUAAAAUGUAUCAAUUUAGUACCCCGUAAUUUUAUUUAUUUAUUUUAUUAUUCCCUAUCAUUAAUUUUUUUUGUUAAAUUAAUGACAAAGUUAAAACUAAAAAAUACUAAAAUAAGUAUUCGAUAAAUGUAGGUGAAGUAUUUAAAAUUUUUUAUAUAUAAUUUAUCAAAAUGUUAAUGAAAGAGCCGACGAUAAGAGAAAAAUAUAACUAUAGGGUACUAAAUUGAUAUCUUUUAAAUUAUAUAAUAAUAUAAAAUAAAAAAGUGCAAAAGCAGCAUUUGAAGUUUCUCCCAAAAAAAAAACAAAAAAACAAAAAAAAAAAUGCAGCUAGUAAAACUGGUCUCUUCUGCCAUGCCACCAUCUCGACCUGCAAAGAUGCAUAGUAGUAGUAAUUGAGCGUUUAAGACGUGCUUGGAUCAUAAUGAAUAUAUAUAUAUAUAUAUAUAUAUAUAUAUAUAUAUAUAUAUAUAUAUAUAUAUAAAACACUAGUAGCUAGGAAAUCCAACGGAGUAGUAUAAUAAUAACACAAAUUAAGUUUUUGAAUUUUAUCCUUUUUGAAAGAACGCAGCGUACGCACGUAACUCGAUCGGAAGAGAGAAUAUAUAAUAGGGAUAAAUAAAUAAAAAUAUAUAGGUUAUAUACCAGUAAGAGUCCCAGCGCGGGGGCGGCGGAGGAAGGGUUUUGGCCAUGGGGUGGGCGGCGGCGUAGUACUUGGCCCGGCGGACGUUGCGCAGGGCGCAGCAGGCGAGGGAGUAGAGGAUGACGAGGAGGACGAUGGCGACGACGUUGAGGAGGGCGAGCUUGUGCCAGCCCCUCCUGACCUGCUCCAGCACGCCGGCCUUGCAGGAGUCGCACCCGUAGCACAGCACGCUCGCCGCGUUGCUCCACCGGUAGCAGUCCUCCUCCUGCCCCGCCACCGCCGCCCCCCCGCUGUACGCGCACGCCGUCGGCGGCUUGCAGCACCCCGACUGGACCGGGGUGAGGUCUCCACGGAGGUAGUCGGCGGGCGUCCAGGAGGCGAUCUCGGCGCAGGCGCGGGGGGCGGCGGCGCAGGCGAGGGCGGCGCGCCAGACGGAGGGGUCGGCGAGGCGGCGGCGCAGCCAGGGGGAGUAGUCGGAGAGGCGGUACUCGCGGUAGGCGCGCCCGGGGAGGGGGGAGCCGCCGCCGGGGCCGGAGACGGCGAGGCCGAGGGCGGCGGCGGCGAGGAGGGCGGCGAGGAGGAGGAGGAGGGCCGCGAGGUAGAGGCGGAGGGCGGCGGUGGAGGCGGAGCAGGCGCCGACGAGGCCGGCGAGGGAGACGAGCAUGAGGAAGGCGCCGAGGACGAUGAGCGGCACCGUGAGGAAGCGCUCGCACUCGGUGCCGGACCCGCCGCGGAGGAGGAGCCGCGCGCCAGCCACAGGCCCCACCCGAUCAGCGGGACCGACCCCAGCAGCGUCGCCGCGUUCACGUACCCGAUCGUCGCGUUGCUCAGACCCCCGCCGUACAUUCUCUCGAUCCCUGAUUCCCUUCCCUUCCCUUCCCUCCUCUUUCUUUUUCUUUUUCUUUUUCUUUUUCUUUUUUUUUUUAAUUUCUAUUCUUUUUCCUCACAUUCUCUCUCUCUCUCUCUCUCUCUCUCACAUUCUCUUGGUCGGAUUUUGGGGGGAGUUGUUUUGAGUUUAGGAACCACGUCCUAAUUAAUUACGCGCUCUCAGUCCCUAUUUAUUAAUACGACGACUUGCUGUGGGAGUGGGGGUUGGGGGAGGGUAUUUUAGGCCUAUUAGGCUUUAAAAUCCCGUGCUAUUACAUUUCAUUUAUUAAUAAAUUAAGAUUUAAUUUCAUACGGUCCUUGCAAACAUAGUGUGAAUGGUAAAUAUAUUCCUAUAAAGUUUAACUUUCAUAUAUUGCUCCUAUAAAAGUCCCGAUGUUUUUGAAUAUAUCUCUUUAGUUUGUUACCAUUAAAGAACCGUUAAAAAAUAAUUUGUAUCGUCAAUUUUUCCAUCACAAAUAUAUUACUCUUAAAAAAUUAUUUAUAUUUUUAAUUUUGUCAUCACAAAUAUAUCCCUCUAAAAAAUCAUAAUAAUAUAAUAUAAAUAAGUAAAAAUAUCACAAAAUAAUGAGGAUUAAGUAUUUAGCCAAUAAUUAACUAAAUUUUUCUAACGAAUUUUAACGAUAGGAACAUAUUUGAAAACGACUUUUGUAAGAAAAAUACAUAAAAAUUAAAAUUUAUAAAAAUAUAUUUGUUAUUCACUAUGUUUGGUGAGAUAAUGCGUGGGAGUCUGCAGUCGUAGAUGGGGCGGCUUGGUGCUUUUCCUUUUUCUUUUUUUUAAUCAUUUAUUGUGCGAGUCAUUCAUAUUGGUAAAAUGAAAUUUUAAAUGUUUAAUUGAAAAUUUAAAUUGGAUUCUCGUUUUUUAUUCAAAUCCAAAAAUCAAAGGACCGCCUCAAUUAUCUUUUCAGGUAGUAACUCUACGACCGUCGCUAUGAAAUUUUUGUUCUGUUUUCCGAAAAAAAGCGCUUCUAGUCUUGGAGACUUGGAUGCGACAAUUUGCUCUGUGUAUUUACUUUCUUAGUUAUUAUUUUUUUUAAAAAAAAAUUACAUAUUUUGCGGUUUAGAUUUUAACCAUUAAAAAAAUCUUGGCAUCUCUCGAAAUUCUAAAAUGGUAUUUCGACACAAUUUAGAUAAACAAGUUAUUUUAUAAUUCGCUUGAUAAAAUAGUAUAAUAUAUUUCACGACUAACAUGUGUUAUUAUACUCACAAGUAUUUAAGUGAAAAGCACAAGCACCAAGUUGUUAAUUUUAAAAAAAACAACUUUACUUUUUUUGUAUUAGUAGGCAGAGAUUGUAUUAUUUUUCCUUUUUUGUGUUUCGAAAAAGUAAAGAAUGUGUGGAUAACUAGUGGGUACUUAAACUUCAUGCAUUUUUUUUUUAGUGCUUAAGCCCAUUAUUUUUCCUUAAUCAUGAAGAAAAAUCGAAGGAUGGGGAGUGACCUCUUUUUUUCAAUAGGACAAGCUUUAUAGAUUCACUAAAGUACAGUCACUAUCUAACAUACUUCCAUAAAGUGGAAAACAAAAUAAAGUAGAACCUUGCUUUUAGGAGGAUAAGAUUAGAGACAUAGCAUGCAAUGUGUGUCUAAAAAGUACUUUAACAUUUAUCUUAUGUGUAACCACAGCUACCACACUAAUACCCCCAGUUCAAAUUUUAGGAAUUUCUAGGGUAUCUUUUUGCCCUGAAACAUAAAGCAUGUUGGAAAGUACUUUGUUCUUUACCAUGAUAAUUCUCUUAUUACAGGUGAAAAUGAUGUGUGCACUUAGUGCUCAAUAAUAGAUAGAUGCAUUAUUGAUUCAAGUUGUUCACACUCUAGUGCUCUUUAACCAAACUUGCAUGAACUUACUUGUUAAGAAAACUUACAAAUAGUACCUACCUUUGUAUAUUCCCUUUUUAUAAACCCCUAGGUGUUGCUUUUUCAGUGAUAUAGUUCUUAAUAAUAAUAACCAAUAAUACUUUCUAGUGAAAAGUUUAAGCCUACAUGUUAGUUCCUUACUAGCUCAGCUUUUUCUACAGCAACAGGAAUAGUUUUUAAGUCGAAGGUUCUAUUUUGUGUCUCAAAAUCUCAUUUCUCAAUUCAGGUUUCUUACUAAAGUGCUAAAUUUUUCUAUUUACCCAAUAUUUUACUAGAGUGAGUGUUACUAAAAGCACAGAUGUGGAACCAAAUAGGCACUUAGAACUGUUUCUCUACAUAAGAAGUAAAAGAUGUUCCACUGAUAAGACCUCUAAUAAAGCUUUUCACUAGAAUGAGAGGGAAAAAAGAAGCAGCACCUAUGAAAACUGCUGCCUCUAGCUGCACUACUAAUUUGAUAUGAAGUUUUGAUUCAGAAGUUAUAACCUCUCAAGCUUCUUGAGGAGCAUUAAUCUUACGAAAGCGAAUCAAAGCCAAAUGUACACUUAAUAAGUUGUAAUUCAUAAGGUCUAUCUAUCUUCGAUAAGGGGUAAAGCCAAAAGAACCAGUUUGAGAAGCCCCAUUGGGUGGAGGGUGGAAUCAGCAUCUCAUUCAAUUCCCAGCAAAGGUUACUUAUUUGAUGUUUCAUUGCAACGCUAAACAUUUAAAGUUACUAGAUAGGAACUCUUAACUAAAUCUCUAGGCAAUAGAUAAGAGUCAAAAGCGCGAAGAAGAGCAAGAGCGGAAGCCGUUUGGACCAACUUACAUAAGCACUUUUUUUCGGGGGGCGUGCUUCUUGAACAGUUUCUCCGCCGGAGAAGCAGUGGUCAGAUGAUCGAUAAAUAAAAGCAUGAAGGCAAUGCUAAUAAGGGUUACUGGAAAGUUAAAAUAAGCUGGAUAUGAUGCAGUUGGUUUUGAUGUAAAAGCUACCAAAGAUUCCUUGAACAACUCUACCUAAACCAGCAAUUCUACUUUAACUGAACAAAACUUUAUUGAAGAGAGCUACAACGAUAUCUCGGUUAAAUAGUUUGGAGAGCCGUCUAAUACGUGUCAUGCUUGAAUUUUGGAGUUUCAUUCCAAUCUAACAGUUUUUUUGCUGGAAUGUGAAGAGUGUAUUGGACGACGAAUUUAGAUAGGUCCCAAUAAAUGAGACUAAGUCACUCCUCGUUUGAGAUUCGGGCGCGGGAGGUGAAUUAUACGGCUCACCAAAUUAUCUCAGCAAGUCAUUGGAAUCCAUGCAUAAAUUCUGAUAUCAAACCCACAAAAUUCUAUGUAUAAUGCAGUUGAAGCAGGAAAAAACACUAUACAAUAGAAAUACAAGGACAAAUAAUUAGAAUUGAGGCAAGGAUAAUGAUACUGACAUUCAUGGUUGGUUGCGGCAUUUGAUCAAACAGGUAGCGUCUCCGUAAUAAUACCGCCUUCGUACCACUCGUCGAAGUCCCUCUCCACCUCACCCGCAGCUUCCCCCUCCCCCAAUCUCCUCAACCCUCGGAUCAAAACCCUAAACAAGUACUCGUCCCCGACGCAACCCCCUCUCUUCAUCCGCUUGUAGAGAUCCCUCACCGCCUCCCCUCUCCCCGCUGCGAUCAAAACCCUAACGAGCCGCGUGAGCUUCCACACGUCGUCCGAGGGGGAGAACCCCCCGCUCCCCUCCUUCUCCUCGAGCAGCUCCGCCACCAGGGCGUCGAUCUCCUCGGCGGCGGCGGCGCCCCGGGCCAUGGCGGAGGCCAUCUCGGCGUAGAGGGAGAAGUCGGGGUUGGUGUACCAGGUCUCGCGGCGCGCGGCGGCGAAGACGACGAGGGCGAGGCGCCACCGGCCCUGGCGCUGGAGCUCGGCCAGCGCGGCGAGGAGGUCGGGCUUGAGGAGGCGGCCGAGGGCGGCGGCGGCGGCGGCCGGGGAGGGGACGGCGCCGUCGCCGGAGAGGGCGGCGCGCUUGAGGGCCUGGACGGCGAGGAUGGCCUCGGUGCUGAGGGUGCGGCCGCGCUGGAGGGGGCCGCGGUUGUCGCGGGGCCCGCAUGUGAUGGCGAGGGAGCGAGUACUGGGGGAGUGUAGAGGGGAGAGGGAGGAGGGGACGAGGAAGAGGUUAGGGUUUAAGAGAGAGGAAAGCGCCAUGAGAGAGAGAGAGAGAGAGGAGGAAGGAGACGAGAGCUCGAACGAUGAAGUGAUAAAGGACUCUGUGAACUUUCUUUCGUGCACCGAGUGCACUCAUGCAUUGGUGCACCGUCCGCAUAUCAUCCGUCCAUCGUCGUUUCGCACUUUGAAAACCAACCGUCUAAAAUAGAGGAAUUCGAAAUGGCGCGGUGCACGGAUACAGAGAUGAACCGAGUGCAUUAAUAAUUUUUCCCACGUUAACACUUCUUAAUAUGCCACAUAAUCCAAUCUCAAAGUCAAAGUCAAAGUCAAAGUGAAAAGUUUUUUUUUUUUUUUUACCUCUCUUUUAGAAUUCCUUGUAACCUGUUCUUUAUUAUACGGGAUUAGUCGAAAUACCAGUGAAUGGAACAUGAAUCUCUGUUAUAUACAGAGUUCACUUUAUUAUUGAUUAGAUUUUUUUUUUUUUUGGGUUCAAAAAACGAAACAAUCUAUUCCGUUACCAGAUUAUGUCUUAUUUAUUACUUCCCAAUUGCAUAGGUUCAUAUCAUUCAUAGCAUGUAAGAUGCUAAUAAAAUACAAUGACAUAUAGUUUUCAAAUAAUUAGAACCCAAUCCUGGAGUUACACUGCUAAUUCAAAUUGCAUGUGCAUGCUGAUCAGGAACAGUAGCAGUAAGAGUUAAGAACAUAAUGCGUCUACAGAAGAAUCCAUAUGAAUAUCUACGCCCACAUCUGAAUCACUUUCUCUUGUGCUUAAUUAUCCAUGAACUGGGUUUCUCUGUUAGCAGAAAAAUAAGCAAAUGAGGUUACACAAAUAAAGAAGGAAAAAUGGAAAAGUUUUGAGCAGAGUGUAAAUCUUACAUCUCUACCGGCGUCUCUCUUUCGCCAAUUUGCCAAAUUGGGCCCUGUAGCGAGCACAUCAAGUUAGAAUACAACAUGCUAAAUUUUUAGCUCUAAGGUAUAAAUAAGGGCCUCUGCAAUCUUAUUUAGAUUCUGCAAAACGAGUAAAACUAUUCAAAAAAGUAUUAACAAUUCUUUUACUUAAAUCCAUCGACAGCGUAAGCGAAAGCUGUUUUCAGGAUCUUAUUUCAGCCUUUUGUGACAAUAAAAACUCUAUGUUAUUGCUUUUUCCCAAGUAUGCGACAAUUGCUUCAUAGUGUUAAAAAAAAAAAAAACAUUCCGGCACGGAGAAAAUGAAGUAAUACCUCUAUAAGGUAAUCCCGGAGGCGGUAAGGAGUGUGUUUCUGGCCCUUGGUAGUCGAUCUCGUAGAUCUCCGGCACUGCAGUAUCUUGAACAGAAGCUGUCGCAUAUCAAUUAACUUAAAAUCAGCUAAUAUCCUUCUAAUCAUUAAUUGCUCGUGCAAAUCAUUUUACCACCAAAUGGAAACCACAAAGAGUUGUAAGAAAACGAAUACAACAAAUAACAUACUGCUGAGAUCAAACCUGUAAGUUUUUUAUUUUUCUGACAAAACAAACCUGAAUAUACAGUUGACAGAGUCACUGCAAGAACCAAAAGGAUAAGAACAUAAACUCGAGAUCUUCGCGCCAUUUUCCACUACUCUCGACUUCGUAAUCGCCACGAGAGGAGGAAUCAAAUGAAUUAAGCCAUCACCAUUAUUAAGAGAGCAAGGUAUAGCUAGCAUAUGAGGCUGGUGAUGGUGAUGCACCAUUAAAUUAUGAUGCACCUGCACCACUAAUUAGCUAGAUGCUACAGUGGGGCCUGGUUUUACCGUAGGAUGCCAUGACCAAUUGNUCUCUUAAUAAAAAAAAAUACCUUACAUAAAAUAAUUUUGAUCAAGAAUGUAGGUAACAUCAGGGAUUAAUUUGUUCUGAUCGAGUGGAAGAUCACUGUUUUAUUUUGUUUUAAUUGUGAAAAAAAUGUUCUUCCCAUCACCUAAUUUGCUCGCAUCUCCUCACACAGUGUGAACAAGUAUUGUGUUUGUUUAUGAGUUAUGGUUGAAAUGUCAAUCACCACCAAUAAGCUUUUUAGUUAAUUAAUUAUUAUGGGCCACCUAUUGAAAGGAAUUCUUCUACUUUGAUCUUGGCAUGUUUAGCUUCUUCCUCUCGUGAAUGUAGAAGAGGCACCACACACACUAGACAAAGUACUGCAAUUGUUCUUAUAUCUACACAUUUAAGCUUGUGAAAGUAAUCUCUUUUCAUAUAUAUAUACCUUUUUAAGUUCUUAUGUAAAAAACCUGAUCUCAAGAGGAGGAAAUUAAAGUUGCUUUUGGGGUUUGAUAAGUCAUUUACAUAACAAUUCAAUUUUACAGUGCAUGGUAUAUAUAUAUGAAAAGAGAUUACUUUCACAAGCUUAAAUGUGUAGAUAUAAGAACAAUUGCAGUACUUUGUCUAGUGUGUGUGGUGCCUCUUCUACAUUCACGAGAGGAAGAAGCUAAACAUGCCAAGAUCAAAGUAGAAGAAUUCCUUUCAAUAGGUGGCCCAUAAUAAUUAAUUAACUAAAAAGCUUAUUGGUGGUGAUUGACAUUUCAACCAUAACUCAUAAACAAACACAAUACUUGUUCACACUGUGUGAGGAGAUGCGAGCAAAUUAGGUGAUGGGAAGAACAUUUUUUUCACAAUUAAAACAAAAUAAAACAGUGAUCUUCCACUCGAUCAGAACAAAUUAAUCCCUGAUGUUACCUACAUUCUUGAUCAAAAUUAUUUUAUGUAAGGUAUUUUUUUUUAUUAAGAGAAAAUAAUAGUAAAGUGAUAUAUAAGAGCCAUCUAGGACAUCGUGAAAGUCUGAAAGAGAAAUAAAUGAGAAAAUAGAAUAAAACAAAGCGACAAAAAGAAAAGGUACAUGGUCAAAACAAAUAAAAAUAAGCUAGUGAUGAUACACAUACCACAAUCUCAGAAAGUGUCGAAUACCAAAAAAAACCUUAUAGGAUUUCAUACUUACGUCUCUAUAACUAGCACUAUUCCUCUCCAACUAAAUUGUGUGUAGGAUAAAAUUAAUAUAAUUAUCUAGCAUGGAGUAAGUGCAACAUGACUUAAUUGUAAGAAGAUUUUUUAUAGUUUUAUUAUUAUUAUUAUUAUUAUUAUUAUUAUUAUUAUUAUAAGGUGCAUAGAUGAGCCAAUUGAGAUGUUGCUUAUCAUACGUUAAUUGGUCUCACAUUCAACAACAACAACAACAAAAAGAAAAGAAAAAAAAAACAUUUAUAUUACAAUUUGAAUCGUGAGAACCAAUCCUUCUAUAAUUUUGUUUGAGUUGGUGUUGGUACAUGUGCAAAUUGAUCCGGACCACAAAUGCGACCACCCAUGAAUACUAGUCCCGCACGCAUUUCCCUUCCCCUAAUAAGAAGCUACCCAUUUCCCAUGCCACUCUAUCUCCCCUCGGCAUACUAACGUUUCGCUGCACCUGGUGCAUAUGUUUUUAUGUACACCGGCUUUGCCUCUGUGCAAAUAUAUAUAUAUAUAUAUAUAUAUAUAUAUAUAUUCGUUCCUAUGAGCAAAGAUUUUUAAAAUAAGCUUCUUAUAAACGAAAGAUAUUAUUUCAAAAGAUUGAACGCGUGCCUUUUAUCGAACUAGUGAGUUUUAACUAGUUGUCAAAUUAUUUAUCAUUCAGGAUUUAAGAUGGAUGGAAUAGGAUAAAAAAAAUAAUGUUGACAUUUACUUCGGCCUAUAAGGUUAGAAUUGAAUAUGAUUGAUCUGGAAAAAGGAUCGGUUUCGACCCCUAUCGAUUAAAUGGUUAGAUCUACCGUUCCAGCGUAGGCUGCAUAGCUCUUUUAUUUCAUUCUAUUCUGUCUAAUUAUGAAUGCAGAGGGGAGCUUUGGAUAAGCGAUCUAUGGAAGUAGUCAUGAACCAAGUGUAGGCAAAAGUCUCAUCUGAGCUUGGAUUUUGCAAAAAAAAAAAAGAAAAAAAAAAGAAAAAGGAGGAUCAGCUUGUUCUUUGUUAUCCUUUCUUAUUGAGCUAUAAGUAUCCACAUCAGAAUGAAUCAUUCGACUUAUCAAGCUAUCUCAACUAAGAAGCUCCUCGGCUCGUCGUGCUAGUUUGAUAGAAAAAGUAUUCUCUAUACCAGAUGUAAGACAUAAAAUAUAUCUCAAUCAAUCGUACUAUCCUUUACUUUUUUUUUAUUAAAUCAGUAACAAAAUUAAACUAAAAAAUAUUAUAGUGAAUAUUCAAUGAACUAUAGGUGAACUAUCUGAAAUUUUUUUGUAUAUAAUUUAAUAAAAAGUUAGCUGUCCAAAAAAGAAAAAUCAUAAAGUACUAAAUUAAUUGACUUUAAAUUAUAAAAUGUUAAAGUGAAAAAGUGUAAAGUUAUAGGUGCGGUGUCUACCGUUCACUAUUUUUAAUAUAGUUUUUUUUUUGGGUAAUAAUACGAUACUUGUUGGAUGUGUUAUGAUGACGUCACUGGGUCUCUCCGACUCUAUCCGCUCGAGCAACUCGCCGAGUUCGGAAAAAUACGACUCCCUAUAAAUACAGCACAGACGAAAAAUAAAAAUAAAAAUUAAAGGAAAACUCGCGAAUCGGGUAACCAAAUCGAUCCCGCCCCGAAAACUCGCUAACAAAAUGCAGAGGCUCUCAUCGUCGCCGCUCCGAGCUGCGGCGGCGCUCCUCCACAAGCGGCGUCGGUGUCCGCAGAGCGCAAGCGCCGCCCCGUUCUCCACCUCCCUCCUCUUCGACGAUACCCAGAAGCAGGUUCCAAAAUCUCAAAUCCUCUCCGUAUUCGAAGAGAUCAACAAUCGCUGUUGUUGUUGUUGUUGUUGUUGUUGUUGUUGUUGUUGUUGUUGAUCGGAGGAUACGAUUCUGAGUUAGGUUUUUGUUUUUGGCGAGCAAAUUUUGAGCUCGAGAGCGCACUUUGAUCGAGCGGAGUUUGAAACGUUUCGUUUUGAUGCAGUUCAAAGAGAGUGUUCAUCAGUUCGCGCGAGAAAGCAUUGCUCCCCAUGCAGCAAAAAUUGAUGCAACAAAUCAAUUCCCAAAGGUCGUGUGAUUUCACAAUUUUUAAGAUAUUGAUUGAUGCAGGGUUACUAUUAUUCCUAUGAUAUCUGAUCAGAUGGUUAAUUUUACAGGAUGUUAACUUGUGGAAGCUCAUGGGAGAUUUCAAUCUCCACGGGAUCACCGCGCCAGGUAAAACCAUUGAUGUAGCAGGAUUAAUACCGCUUUCGUCGCGCACAUUUAGCUAGUUUUGUUAUCCUUUUAGGCAGUUAAUCCAUAUCCAUCUCUUAAUCCAUAUCCAUCUCUGUUACUAUUUUUCUGUUUUACAUAACAUCCAUGAGCACGUCCCAGGCGUUAUCGCUCCUUUUCCCCACAGAUAACUUAUAAUAACUCAUCUUGUUCAUUAGAGGAAUAUGGAGGGCUCGGUCUCGGCUACUCAUACCACUGUAUAGCAAUGGAGGAAAUUAGUCGUGCUUCUGGAUCAGUCGGCCUUUCUUACGGCGCCCAUUCGAACCUUUGCAUCAACCAAUUGGUACUGGCGUUAUAUUAUUAGACAUUCCUAUUAAUUAUUUUUCAGCUUACAGCAAUCAUAUUCUGGUACGCCAUUCCAGCUCCGUCGUGUUUAUAUGUAGGUGCGGCAUGGGAGCUCUGCGCAAAAACAGAAGUACCUUCCGAAGGUUUUGCUCCGAAACCUAUUUAAGUUUCAAUUUCUGAAGCAUAGCGAACUUCAUUUUCUUGAUAAUAGCCUCUUUUGUUGCCUAUUUUGCUGUGGCCGGAACUCUUUUUGUUCAGUUUCUAGAGGGUUGCUGAUGUUAGGUUGAGAACACGUCAUGCAAAUUUAUGACGUCUUUGAGAGCCUUCUCAUAUUUUUAGUCUUGAUCGAAACCAUAAAAUGUGUUAUAAUUUAUGAUCAGUAACUCAUUGGUGUGUAGGCAUUCACAUUUAUCUCACUGAUGUGUAGGCGUUCACUUUGUCUCUGGUCGUAACUACUUCCAUUGCUAAUAUGUUUUUCCCGAUAUUUUUCUCUGCAAGUAAGCACUUAUAUUGUAAAAUGACACAUUACAACCUGUUAGUGCGUAAAAUAUCUCUUUUUCAUGCUAACCUAAUGUACUUUUAUCUGAAGCUAAUCAGUGGGGAGCAUGUAGGGGCACUAGCAAUGAGUGAACCUAAUGGUAAAUGAAUAUUCUAUUUUUCAUUUCCAUGUGUGUCUUGGGUUGUUCCAUUGAUUGUGCGUAUGGUUUUGAAUUCACUUGUCCAAAUUUUCAGCUGGUUCUGAUGUCGUCAGUAUGAAAUGCAAAGCUGAUAAAGUUGAUGGCGGUUAUGUUCUGAACGGUAAUAAGAUGUGGUGCACUAAUGGCCCGGUGGCUCAAACAUUGGUACUCCAAUCAUUGACUGAUUCCUUGUCCUAGACUUGAUUUUUUUAGUAACAUAGCAGCAAGUAUCCACUUAUAAUUUAUUAGUGAGUGGUCACUAGUGUAUUAUUUUGCAACAUUUUGCUCCUAUAACCAGCUUGGUAAACAGAUAUUUGGAACUUGAAAGCCAUCUUUAAACUUAAAUGAUCUGAUGAAUAUGCAUCUACUUGCAAUGCUUCAAAUGGCUCACUUUAAGCUGUUAGAACUGUCAUACUACUGUCGUCUUAAUACAAUAUAUCAAUGUCUUUCAAUCAUGAAAGUCUUCCACCAGCAUUUAGUUAGUUAUUUCAUUUGCAUCGUGUUCAUAAAUUCAAAUUCCAUCAUUUAAGUUCUGGUUAAGUUAUCAUGUUUCGAUCACCUUGUGCUUCUCUGUUCUUCACAAAUAAGUUGGAUUUGGAGCAGGUUGUUUAUGCAAAGACAGAUAUAUCUGCUGGGUCCAAAGGAAUAACUGCAUUUAUAAUUGAGAAAGGGAUGCCGGGGUAAGUUCUAAACCAACUUGAGCUUGUGCCUUUUCUUAGGGAUGCUGAAAAACUUCUUUCAGCCCUUUGUCUCUCCCUUUCUUUGGUACUUAUGGAUUAACUCUUGUUGAAAAGACACUAUUUUAUUUUCACUUUUGAAUUCUGCCGCUAUAUUUCCUUACUAGAGUUUUUUUCCCAAAAAACAAAAGAAAAAGCAUGAGUAAUUGAACGGCUCUGUGAAUCAGAUAAUAUGACUUCUGUAAUUUCUGAAGCAGAAAAUAAAUGCUUAAAAGUUCAUGUGCUAUAGUUUCGAAUAAACUUGGUUCAUCGUCUAAAGAACACUUCAGUUGAAUUUAUUUUCAUGUGUUUCAGAUUCAGUACUGCCCAGAAAUUGGACAAACUUGGUAUGCGAGGGAGCGACACGUAGGUUAUCCUUUUUCAUCCAACAUAAUCCACUUUUAUAAUUUGCACCUCCGAAAGCAAAUUCCUUAUGCUUGUCUAUGGGCAAUUUUUUAUAGAUGCGAGCUUGUGUUUGAGAAUUGUUUCGUACCUGAAGAAAACAUACUUGGUCAGGAAGGGAAAGGUAUUCUCCUCAUUAUUAGCUAGUUAUUUAUGAAUUUGAAAUAACUUCUUGAGGGCCAAAAAAGUAUUGUCAGAGACGAUUUGUGCACCUUACAUGUCUUUGCAUGAAUUAUUGCUAGCUUAGUACUUCGUGCUUUAUCCAAUGUUUCGCGCUUUAUCCUAUUUUCUCACUAUUUUCUAUAAUCGACCUAUCUUGAUUCUUGAAUGAUUGCACACCAUAUUUUUCUCAUGAUAGGAGUUUAUGUCAUGAUGUCGGGGUUAGAUUUGGAGAGGCUCGUUUUGGCUGCAGGCCCCAUCGGCCUCAUGCAGUCAUGCCUUGAUGUUGCUGUUCCCUAUGUUCGCCAGAGAGAACAGUUUGGCCGUCCAAUUGGUGAAUUUCAGUUCAUACAGGUAUUUUCUUUUCUUUUUCUUUGUCCUAGUUUUACUUUUCUCCCAUUCCAUUUAAAUUUGCCCCUUUUGUUCAUUCUUUAACAGUCAGCAAGGUAAGUAUUCUCAUACAACCAAAGCUAAUAACCUAAAGUUUCGUCUAACAAUUUUUGGAUCUAAAUACAGGGAAAAUUGGCUGAUAUGUACACUGCCUUGCAGUCAUCAAGGUAAAUAUUCUCAUGCAACCAAUGCUAAUAACCUAAGUUUCAUCUAACAAUUUUUGUUUCUUUUUCUCCUUUCAGAGCAUUCGUGUACUCUGUUGCUCGGGAAUGUGACAGUGGAAAUGUCAACUCGAAGGUAUGUUUCACAUUAGUUCGUUCCUCUGUCUUUAUGCUUUGGAACUUAUUAUUAGUCAUCAGUCUUGUACAGUUGCUCUCAAAGUGUAUUUGUGUGAAGUUUAAAUUUAACUUCACAAGUUGUGAAGUUCCAUUUAGUUUGUCGAUUUUUUCUUUUUUGUGGUAUAAUGUUAUUUGAUUGACUUAACUAUUGAAAGUAAGCUCCAGAUGUUCAUUGAUUUUUAGUUACUCGUUGUAUAUCUUUGGUGCCUAGUAGUAAAGUAUUCAGAUUAUUUUAGUCUAUUAUUCUCUUUAGAAACUCAAAUUCAUCUAAAUUUGCAUGAAUACUUUUUAUUUAGGAUUGCGCAGGAGUUAUCCUUUUUGCUGCUGAAAACGCUACUCAAGUGGCUCUUCAGGUAAAAAGAAGCUUUCUUCUUGUGUUAUUUUCAUUCCUGCUGCACUAAUUGUUUCCCGAUUUCACCUUGAAGGAAAAGCGCAAAGGCAAAAUUUGCUUGCCAUAUUGCUAGAAUACACAACUACUAAGAAAAUUCAAAUCAUAGAAGCCACUUAAACCACACUGCUUUAGCCUUCCUCAGGCUCCAUGGGGUCUAAUCUGUUUUUCUUUUCUUUUCUUUUCUUUUUUCAAAAUCAUCAUAUUUCUGGCUGCCUGUGGCCCUGUGCAUUUGAUUUCCAUAUAAUAAUACCCUGUUUUCCACUACUAGUGUUUUUACAUCGAUUUAACAUAGCCAUCUUUCAAGACUCGGGCAAAUUUAGUUGGCUUGUAUUAUGUAGACAUGUUUCUUCUGCUGCUCUAAGUUAUUAAUUCCUUUUGAUGAUAAAAUGAAGGAUGACUUGUUACUGUCUUCUGAAUUAGCAGCCUAACGUACACACUACCUAGUGCAGCGCGAAGCACUCAGAACCUUAUGUUGCUACAAAAAUCGCCUUUUGAUUUUUCUGCAAGUCCUUUCCGCCUUGAAAAUAUUCAAUCAAGCAAUUGCCUUGUAUCUCCUGAUAUUCAGUGUCUAAAGACUAUCAUAGUCUCCCAAACAUUUCCAUUCCUAUUCACUGCACACACUCACUUGUACUCUUACUUCUUUGCCUGUUGGAUUCAAAAAGGGCACAUAGAGACUUAAAAUUAUUCUUGAUUAGUGUUAUUGAUGAACUAAUUUUACAAGAACGCAUAGUUAAGAGGAUUCUUUCUGAGAGUGCAUUGAUAUAAUAUUUUCUUUGCAGAUGCUUAAGACCUAUUCGUGAUUUGAAAUUUCUGUCAUUUAUUGCAGGCAAUACAAUGCCUUGGUGGCAAUGGGUACGUUAACGAGUACCCAACUGGUCGCCUUCUGAGAGAUGCUAAACUAUUCGAGAUUGGUGCGGGCAGUAGUGAGAUACGAAGAAUGAUCAUCGGCCGUGCGCUCUUCAAAGAAGAAUGAUGGAAAAAAACAGUGCCUGGAGGUGAUGAUGAUAAAUUAUCAUGAGAACCUCCAUGGGGAUUAGAUUUUGAUGGAACUACAGGAUACAAACGCUUGAUUUUACUCCUCAUAUUGUUCCAUCUGAACAACCUGUAUUUGCACUUUCAAGAGCUCCCUCUCAAUACACAAUAAAAUAACUAACUUUGAUCCAUACGCAUUUGCAUGCUACAGUACACAGGUGGAUAUUGUACAAAUUCUAUGGAAAUGAAGCCGUUGAGCAAGCAUUUAUUGGCUAUACUACGACCUGCGUACUAAGUUCUGGUAUGGUACAUGAAAUUGACAAAUUGUCCAAAUAAAGUGCAGUAUAAGCUACGUAGUCUAUUUUGUAGAUCAUCUUCGGUGAGAAUUAUAAAGCAGUAUUUUAACAUGUUUCAUAUGGUUUAAACAUGUCCAAUUACUUGGUUCGCAUGCGGUUGCCAUAAACAAGACCAAGAAUCUUGGUUUAAGGCGAUCAGAAAAGGUGAGGCUUUUAGUUGAAGAAAAGCUUUUCCAAAAGAAUGAAGAAAAUUAUUCACAUAGCCACCCGGCGCAUUGCGGGGGAAGGCUACAUUGUCAUUGCUGUUGCUGUUGCUGUUGCUGCUUCUGUAGUUCUAUAAUAAAUACAAUAAAAAAAGAAUGCGAAGAUUGGAUCUCACAACAAACCACUUUCAUUCUGGGAUCUCUGGUUGCGUCUCGAAUUAGAGCCCCAUUCGAUGGCCUGCGCGACGGCACGCUCACGCUCGAUGGCGCUCUCCUCUUCUCUCUUACUAUCAUCACUUUGAUUAGAAACUUCUAAGGUUUGGAACUGAGACUGAAGAAUCGAGGUUCCGUUGUGAUCAACGGAGGACGCCGUGAGGAAACUCAGGGCCACCACGACGUCGGUCAUUAAAGGACGGACGGAGGCCUCCUCUUGAAGGCACAUCGCAGCCACUGCUACCGCUUGAUUCAGGCCCCUCUCCGGGUAGUCCCCUUCUAGGAGCGGAUCGACGAGCUCGAUGUACCGCUUCUGCUCUUUGAACAUGGGUUGUGCCUGCAAAAAUGCAGAGUUACAAACGAGGGUUACACGGGAGAACGAAAUAAGGAUAAAUAACUAAUCCAAAACUAAUAAUGCAUUACAAGUUUAAGAGGAAAUUUUUUUCGUAGUAGUUAAUAAUGCAAUAUGUGCAAGCCAAUAUUAGAAAAAGGAAAAGGAUUUAUGAAACAUACCCAAUUUACAAGAAUCUGCUCGUCGGCCGGUCGAGUGGUGUCAAUAGCUUUUCUUCCAGUAAUUAGCUCAAGCAAGACAACUCCAAAGCUAUAUACAUCCGACUUCACAGUUAAUUCGCCGGCUCUUGCAUACUCUGGCGCACAGUAACCGUAAGUUCCCAUCACCCUCGAGGAUACGUGCACUUUGUCUCCGACGGGACCAAGCUUGGCGAGCCCAAAAUCAGAAAGCUUUGGAUUAUAUUCUUCAUCGAGUAAGAUAUUUGACGAUUUAAGGUCGCGGUAAAUCACAGGCGGGUUAGCCUUUUCGUGAAGGUAUUCCAGGCCCUUAGCAGCACCAAAAGCUAUUUUCAUUCUGUAAUACCAGCUUAAUGGCUUCUGAUCAGUAGAAAUUUCUGCAGCAAUAAAGGAGUGCAUGAUUUACGAUCGAGUUUAUACAUAUAUAUAUAGAUAGAUAUAUAUAUGCAGAAGCACUUCGUAAACAUGGAAGUAUGCGUGCAUUUGAGAAGUGCGACAGGAAUAGAACAAAUACGAAACAAAUUUGGCUGAUCCAAAUAUAACAUACCAAGCAGAUGGUCUUCAACUGAACCCAGGGGCAUGUACUCAUAAACCAGAAGCCUUUGGUCUCCAUCCGCGCAAUAUCCAAUAAGCUUGACUAGGUUGGGAUGGUGCAGCAGGCUGAGCAUCAGAACUUCUACGAGAAAUUCCUUGUUACCUUGCAAGCCAUUCUUGUCCAGUUGCUUCACAGCUACAACCUUGGCGACGGCGACACGGUGUCAGGAAACAAACAAACAUCCGCAAGUGAGUAAAUAUCUGAGUUGGCUUUUCAAUUGCGCGAACUAGUAGUUAGGCAUUUAGCAAACAUAUACAAAAUCUUUUAAGAUAUUUAGAGAAAAAGAAGAACCAAGUACCUGCUUAGUGUUGGCAAGGCGCCCUUUGUAAACUCUUCCGAAACCUCCUUCACCAAUAAGGCAGUCGGACCGGAAAUUCUUUGUAGCCGUCGCGAGCUCUCGGAAUGUAAAUAUCUGCGCAGCGAUGUUCCCAUUGCCGGAUUCUCUUUUCGCUGUUCUUUCUGGUGAAGCCCUUUGUACAGGGUUCUCUGCACUAGGAGCUACAUGUUAUGUUUGAUAUAUAUCUAAACGAAAAACUAAAUCAAACAAUUUGAUGAAGAAAAGUGUGAUUAAAAUCAUUAAUAACCAACCAACUGUUUUUUUUUCUAGUGUCAAUCUAAUGGACUAAUUUUUAAUUUGAUAAAAAAUAGUCGAUUAACGUAUUUACAUUUCCAUUUGUCCCAGAAAGUUUUCAUUUUGUGUGGAGUAAAAAAAUAAAAUAAAAUAAAAAUUAUUGAUUAUCAAGUGUUACCAAGUCAAUUGUUGCAUUUAUGAUGCUUUUUCCACCAAAUCGAAUAUUGUGGCCGAAUUUAGUUGUUUGCGCCAAAUCAAAUUUAAGAUAAUUCGACGAUUUUUGGCACCAUAUGAAGAACGCGGGGGAAAUUGUAAUUGAAAAAAAGGUGCAGUUUUUACCAAAGUAAAUCCCGUGGAUCGAAUUGUUGUUAGAAGAGAUUAGAGGAUAUUUGUGUUUCUAACCCAAACAACUGUAAACCAGUUUGUGCAUUAAUUCAAUCAAACCAACAACAUCUCACCAGGUUUUUUGGGCAAUUCACUCUCCCUCUUCGAGACGAACACUGGCGCCGUCGACGCCUCCCUCUUCGAGCCGAUCUUCUUCGCCUUCUUCUCGCCCGACGUGAAACAAGAGAAGCAGCUCAUCUCUCAUCCAAUACCCUAAACUCAACCCUUUCGUCUCUUCCCGUAAUCACUCAAUCCCCACACCAAAUCACCCAAAUCAUAGCCGAAAGAAGAAAAAGAAGAAGAAGAAGGAGAAGAAGAAGAAGAACAAAUUAACCUUAAUUCCCAACAACCUGUUCGGCGAAAUGCCAACAAGAAAACAAUCGCCAACUCAAUCGAGCUCCGAAUCCAACGAACCCUAGAACGAGAGAAGGGGGGGUCAGAGGGGAUCGUUUCAGAGUGGGGGAUCGAUCGAAAAGAGGGGGAAGGGAAUGGGGAAGGGGCGAUUUUGAAGGGGAUUGACUCCGAGAGAGGUGGGAGGGGGUUGGAGAGGAGAGAGACAUGUUCGAUGGCGCCGCCCAUUUCUCGGACCCGAUAAAGCGCGCGAAAAAGUUUCGAACGAAACGAGGGUUUUUUAUACCCCCGACGAAUACCGUUGGAGGAUUUCGUUGACUCUACGCUCCAACGGUCAAACAGUUCUAAAUUGCACUACAGUCCCCCUACUCAUACUUCGUUUGAGAUUGUGCUAAAUAAUACAAUGGAAAAAUAUCAUAUUGGUUUUCAUACAUUAUAUCACAUCCCGUUCACCACCCGCAAUAUAUUUUCGUACAUAAUAUUAUAUUUCGUAUAUCACAAUAAAAACUUGGGUAGAAUACUAUUAAUAGCACCAAGCCAUUGGUGCUAUUAGUUUUUUAGCUCUUGGAUUAGGAAUUGUGUGGUUAGGAUGAUGUGGGCUCUUUAAGGUUGAGUGGGUGGUUGGUUGAAUAGUAUAAUCUAAUGGAUAAAAAUAAUCAAAGAAUUAAAUCUAACAGUGAAAAACUCGAUAGCACCAAGUCCUUUGUGCUAUCAAUAGUAUCCCAGCCGAACUCAUCACAAUAAAUUGAUUAUCAUAUAUAACUUGACAAUUCUACUGAAAAAUUAAAAAAUAUAUAUUUUAAUAUACUUUUCACACUAACUCCGUUUUGCUUAAUAGUGCUAAACGACUCUGGGCACUUUCUCCUCAAACACAAGAAGUUGAUCACUGAACAAUUUAAAAUUUCAAAAAUCUUUCAUUUCAUUAAGUUUUCUCAUUAUUUGUUGAGAUGUAGCAUUAUUAUUAUCUAAAAAUUAGAUAAUUGAAUCGACUAUACGACAUAAAUAGCAUCAUGAAUUUAUGAUGCAGAGUAUUUACUUACACAAUGGAUACAUGCAAACCUUCGUGGUGCACGAAAAUUAAAGUUUCUUUAAACCUUUCGGCGCAAAAAUAGGACCGCUCGGUGUAGCAGCAAAUAAGCAGCUUAAAUUUCCUUUACCGAGUUUUGAAUUGUAAUCGAGGGGCAUAAAUUUUGACUCAUCUAAGAUUCAAUAUUCUUAUAGAAAUUACAGAGCUCAAAUACAGAUGAACGUGGUUCAUUCAAAAGUAUGAGACCUCUGAGGUGCCUAUCCUGCUCCGAAAAAUGGGUUAACCGUAAUUACAGUGGUAUCUUCACAUUCCCACGUAAAAAGAUGAAUUAGAAACCACUAAAAAAAAAAAAGGAAGAAAAAAGGUAGAGUGUGGUGUGUUUCAUUCCUCUUCAGUGGAGUCUUCGGUGGAGUUAUACAGCAUUGUUUCUUCGAAGUACUCUUCUGGUUCUGGCGGUUCUGGCGGUGACAAUUCAUCCGCUUCCGAUGCUAGUGUGAGAGGGCCUUGCGGAAUGCCGAAGAGAGUCGAGAAUAUCUGCCUGUGGCACUCAUCGCAGAAGCAAAAGUACGAGAAGUGGCCUUCGCCAAGUAAUCUGUGUACCGUCGCUCCGGGGACCACGCGCCGCACGUAUUCGGUCACAGAUGGCGGCACCACCCGAUCAUCCAUCCCCUGCAUGAAAAAAAAUCAGCAAUUUAGAUCACAGCAGAAUGUUUAAGUGUUUUCUCUUUUUUUGGUUUGGUUCCUCGUUAUCCUUCGAACACGAUGAUGUUUGACGGAGAAAAUUAAACAAAAAAGGUGGUUCAAAAUUCUCAUGCCGUUGAAAGAUCGAUUCAUAGCUUCCGAUCCCUCAAAACAGUAAGCAAUCUAAAUUACUAUAAAACCAUAUAAAUUAUUAUGCCAAUUGUGAACAAGCGAAACAUGCAUAUGGUAGAGCAUUUGAGAAAUCACAUACGGACCUGCCAGAUGUGUAUUGGGCCAAGAAAUCCGACCCACUCGCGUUCGACCUGAAUGUACAAGGACUUGAGCCAUGAUAGCAGGCCUUUUCCGUCUUGCUGCUUCUGCACUUGGAUGUCGGAGAGGCUGAAGCCCCAGUUAAAAACUUGUAACAUGGCUUCUUCCACAAACGGUCUUGUGUCCCCCUGGCGAACUGAUUCUGCGACAUCCUUUUCCCAGAACUCAGUAUAGAUAGGAUCUUCCAAUAAAGAUUUGUCCUGUGGAAAUGUACGCGAUUUUAGCAGUUGCAGUACCUUUCUUCCAAAAAAGAUUCAAAAUCCUGAUAGCUAGAGCAUUCAAAAUCUAGUGAAAGAAGCAUCUUAUCAAGAAAACUAAUGAGUAAAAGAAAUCACAACUGCAACUAAUAUUACACUCUUGCAAGUUGAUAUUUUUGCAAUUAACAAACUUUAGUGUGGAUUGAAAUAUCUGCCUGCUAAGCACCUUUGUAGAUGAUUAGACUAAAACGAGAUUUGGUUGCAGAAUUGGUAAAGCUAGUGUUUGAAAUACCUUCUUCCCUACAGACAAUGAUAACCACCUUUCUGGCUGACCUUGUUUUCCAGAGAGGAAGCUUCGUCGGUAGAAGAAACCAAGAAGCGAAGGAAACCUCCGAGCCAAAACAUACAUGACUUUCCUUUUUGCGGUCCACUUCUCCCAUGUUUUAUGCCUCUCUUCUUUGGUCAUGCCGGAGUCAUAUGGAUUCACCAUUGGUGCAAACAUGGCUACACCUGGAAGUGAAGUUGAAAACAAUGGAAUCAAAAUAAAGUUGUGAUCAAUGCAGAAUAAUGAAGGUAUUGUAACAAUUAGGCUGUAGUCCACUAAAUUCUUAAGCACACUUCCUUAUUGAAGUUUAUGGGAAACUCUGCAUCAAAUUCCACGAAGAUAUAAACUCGGUUACUUUAGGAGACAAUUUUUUGCCAGAGGUUGUUUUAUUGGACUAAGUUUAUAAAUCAAUCUUGUCAUCUACCAAAUUGUAUUGGAAUAUUGCUAAUAUGAUUUGAUUCCAGGCGUAACUUCUACAUUUCAAUCUCAUUUCAUAAAAUUCCAAAUAUGUUCAACUUGAAUAUGUAAUUCACAUAUUCCUAGUAGCUAGUGAUGCCUUUUUUCAACUAAAGAACAUGAGUCAAGGAAACAUAAUUUUGCAUUACCAACUGAAAUGCAUGCAAAGCUUGUUUGAAAGUAAUAGAUCACUAGAAAUGUAUUCUGAAAUUGAUGGAAAAGCUUUCGCUUGGAAAAUAUGAAAUAAGUAGAAAAGUCAAGCUGGUGUAGCCUCUCCUUCUUUAGAAAGGAAGACAAAGUGACAACUAACAUUUAUCCAUUAAUUCAACAAAGUGAAUACGAUACCUACAGACUCUCCAGUCUUAGGGAAGAAAAGCAAAGAGAACAGCAUUUAUCUGAGAUGCAUCACAACAUCAUACCAGCACUCCACUAUGAUUUAUCAUUGCAUGCAAAUAAAGGUUGUAAAAAAUGAACCGCUCUACUAAUAAAGGAACUAUACUUUCUAGGUUAUGAAAUGCACGAGAUCAGGCAAAGAACACCAUGAAAAACAACCUGCCAGUCUGUCAGGAAUAUAACGAACAGCUGCCCAUGCAUGCAUUCCCCCGCUUGAAUAGCCUACCACCCAGAACUUGUCCAUGACCCCAACAGCAUCUGCUAAAUGAAGCAUAUCGAAAGCAGAUGAACUGAGGUUUCUUCCAGGAUGAGGAUCACUUUCGCCAAAACCAGGAAGGUCGUAAGUAAUCAAUCGGACACCAAAUUCUUCCAAUAGAGACGCUUUAACGCCGGGUAUUCCUGUACCAGAAAUAUUAUAUUAUAAGGACUCGUCCUGGAACAAACAUUUAUGGGGACAAAACUAAAUUAGAAGAACAUAUACCUGCUAGUCGCGAAGAAAGAAAAGAAUGUGGGGCAAUCAGAGAAAACCUAGCCCUCUCAGGGGGGAUACCUUGCUCCUCAUAAGCCAGAUACCUUCCAUCAGGAAGUUGAAUUCGGUUAGCACUGGGAGGACUUAUGUACAGUUUCUUCGGUGGUUGAACUGAAGCCUCACUUCUCGUAUUUACAUUUAAUACUGCACAAAAAUUCUCAUGAAUAAGGAGCAGAAACAGCAUGGCAGAAGUACAGAACUACUAAUAUUUUUUCUCACCGAUAGCACAAGCUUAUAUGCAUAUGCAUAAUAUCUCAUCUCACAUUUUAAAAUAAACAGACAACGUAAGUUCCACUAUCUAAUCACAAUUAAAUAGAAGAGAGACAAAUUGAAAAUGAGAACAACAGCUUUCUCCUUACUGACAGAAGGAUUAUGCCACCAACAACAGAUCGAUGCUCCACAUGCUUUUCCUUAAUAUCACAUCACUUAUUAUGGCGCACAAAGCAAUACUCCAUUUUAAAUGACGCGAUCAACAAUGAAAAUUAUGUAAGCAAUUAGUCAACCAAUCAAGAAAAUUGAACUGUCAUGUAAAGUAAAGGUGGUUGAAAAUUCUGGCAAAAGGGGAAAUUAAAGGACAGUGAGUAGCACUACUGUUAUAAUCCACACAUUGAAGAAAUUAACAAAAUGAAUAUCCUAGAAAUUGAACUGAUAAUGCUGUUUCAAUAUGCGCAAAAUGUAGGUAAAUAGGAUAUUAACAUAAGUAGUUUUCUUGCAUUUCUUUUUGCAAAGCAAUAGUUGAUUAUUCUAACAAGAAUCAAGUAACAAAUUUGUCCCUCCAAAUUCAUGCUCCAUCAAACAAUUAAUUCCUUGAAUUCACAAAAGAAAAGACAGUAGCAUCAUUCACAGGAUUUGCUCACUCUCUAGAUGAAAAGAAUGAAAAGGGACAAGAUUAAGCAUUUACAAUCUAUUAAUCUCAACUAAUUUUGCUCUCCUCCUCUAACUCAUCCCAAAAGCAAAUCCAAUUAAUGAACCAACCAAUUCACGGCGCCACGACAUUACCUGUGAGUGCGAGGAGGAAGACGCCGAUGACGACAGGCCACGCGUGCGUGGGAUCCCGAUCCUCGGGCAGGUACUCGUUCAAGAAGCUGAGCCUCUCCGCCGCCGCUGCCGCAGGCCCCCGGAUCUUCUUGACGACGUACGUGUCCUCCGCACCCUCCAAACUCUGCUGCGCGAUGUCCCAACACCCCUUCCCGAGCUCCCGCAGCAUCUCCCCCGUCGACGACAAGAACCCCUUCACCUGAUCCUUCAAGCUCUCCUCCGCCACCGCCUCCUCCGCCACCACCGUCGCCGACGCCGCCACCGCAGCAACUCCGUCGUAUCUAUAAAACCCGUCCCCCAAAACCCUACCUCUCAGAUCCCCGAUCUCCCUCUCCUCCCCCACCACCACCGCACCACCAUCGUACCUGUAGAACCCCUCCACCUCCCCCAAAACCCUACCUCUCAGAUCCCCAUCGUCCCUCUCCUCCUCCACCUCCGCCUCCCCCGCCGCCGCGUCCAUUCCGUACGCGGCGGAGUAUCGGAUCCCGGUGUCGCCGACGAGGCUCGCGAGCUCCUCGUGCCACGUCAUCGUCCCCCCGCCGCCGCCACCCGCCGCCGCCGCCGCCGCCGCCGCCGCCAUCUCCGCCGCCGAAACCCUACCCUCACGAUCGCGGAGAAGGGCGGGGGAAAGAAAAAGAAACUACUAGAAAUAGAACCGACGCGACAAUUCGCACCGCAGCGUAGCGUGCAUCAGAAGCUAAUCAGCAAGAAAUGGACGGACGAGAUCCCGCGCGGGCCGAAUCGCCGUAGGUUUUCGCCAACUCCUCGGCAACCACCAUUGAUCGGGGGGCCACAGUCGCUUUCGCUGACGCGGACUCGGCGUGGACGGGGCGAGGAGAAAGACGGGGCGGAGACGGCGACUCGCGAUCGCGGCGGAUAAAAAGUCGGAGGGGUACGUCUCCGCUCCACGGAACGUUAAUUCCGGUGUAACGCUUGUAUAUCACUACCCGCUCGAUGUUGACACGUGAACGGCCGAGACGUGGGUCCCACGUGUCAUCGGGUACGCGAUUUGUAACCGUUGCGUUGCGUGGCUUUGGUCGAGAUCGACGGUGGAUAGCGUAGCCACGUCGAUCCUGCGGUCGUGCUACGGCGAAAUUGCAAGUGCACCCGCGCGGUAUAUUCAAAAGCUCUAUUAUAGUGUUGAAUAUUAAAUUAAAUAUUAUAAAAUAAUCAGUCCUCUUCAUAGCUUAAGGUUUAAAACAUAUAUAUAAUAAAUAAUUGAUCGUUACACAUUUGUUUACAUGCUAUCCCGAGAAAAAAAAUUUGAAUCUCACUGAACUUUUAAUCUUGUUUAAUUUUUUCUCAUUUAAUUAAAAUUUAUUGCAAGUCUAUUAAUAAUUCUUUAGUUCAGAGACGAGUGAAAUUGUUAGAUAUAAAUAUUAAUAACAUUGUUCUUUACAGUGUAGACAUUGAAAAAAGAAUAAUUGAUUUGGAUUAUUGAUACUAUCUAAUUUUCAUUAAUUUUAUAUUUUUCUAUGUGUUGACUAUUUAAGUAGUUCUAGAUUAUAUUUAUAAAAAGUUAAUAACACCAUUGACCUCCAACUUUUAUACCAUUUUUUCUUAUUUAUUUUUCAAACUUUUUAGUUUUUAUAAUUUAGCCUCAAACAUUUAUUUUUAUUUAAAUAAAGGCUCGUUUAUCAUAUCAUAUAUUAUCUCAUUAAUUAAGAUUAAAAUUACCAUAUAUUGGAACUAAAAUAUGAUAUUGCUAGAUCAAAUAUUGCCAAGUGGCAAUUCUCCUCCAAAUUAAUUGAUUUGUCACGAAAAAGAAAUUAAUACAAAGGUUACAGGUUAAAACAAAAAAAAUGGAUAAAUAUUGAGGAUUUAGGAUAUCAAAAUUAUCCAAUGUUAAGUAUGGCGCAUCAAAUAUACGGGUACACCCGGUUCAAGCAAUAAUUAUAUCGGAAUAAUGGGAGUUAACGGCCAGCGUAUCGGUUACGACGUGGCAAGUGGGGGUGGGGCCCACAGGAGACCAAAUACACGACCCCAAACACCGAAUCGAAACCACGACUCGGGGGGUACGUGGCACGAAAUUAGUGGCGGGCGUACGAAAAGAGAACGGGAGACGUGGAAAGCGCGGGGAAUAAGAAGAGGAUUCUUGGGCGGUGGGGCGCAUCGGGAGUCGGGACGAUGCUCCGAAUCCGCUGUACUGCUCCCCCGUUCGACUCCCGUGGGUUCAUUCAGCAAACAGCGGUUUCCACCAAUGAUUCUCUUCCACGUGGGCAUUAAAUAGGUGCUUAGCGGGUAAUUAUCCGAUUCGUCGGUAUUAUUAAGGGUGAUGGGCCGUGGGCCCAGUCACGAGCCCACCACCGAGUAUAUUUCUCGUUUCCAUAAAUUGUUUGGUGGGACGUCCUUUUUGGUCCGUAGGAUUUGGAUCGGACUGAUGUGAUUCCUUGGAAAAAGGAUUCAAGAGAUUGAGAGGGAUGGUUUUUUUUUUUUUUUUUUUUUUUGGAUUUUUUUUGAGAUGGGUCUCNAAAAAAAAAAAAAAAAAAAAAAAAAAAGAAAAAAAAAAAGAGGAGCAUAAAUUUUCUAUUAACUUGGCGCAAAAAAUGGCUAACAAAAUAUUUGAAUUUGGGAUCAUUGGGGUACUUUCAUGGUACUCUUAACAAAGCUAUUGAGUCAAAAGAAAAGGUGAAAGAUUAGGUGGUUGUGGUGCAACCAAUUGGACGGUUACAUAACAAGCAUGGGAAAAAGAGUAGGAUUUUGCUGUUGUUGUGGUUGUGGGAGUGUGGGCUAAUUAUUAGUGAUAGUAUAGCCCCAUUAAAAUAAAGUAGCAGGGGCCCUUUUGAUUUUGGAGAUAAAUGAUGAUGCAUGAGAUAAGAGAAGGUGAGGUGUCUCUUUGCUGUAACUUAAAAAUUGGUCAAAAUAUACACAGAAAGAAAAAUUCUUUUCUUUUUUUAUGAUGACUCGGAGAUGAUGAUGCAGAUUCCCAGAUUCGGAAAAUAUAGCAUCAUCAUCCAUAUGAAAAUAUCUCAUGUACUCACAAAUUUAAAAUAUACACCGAACUAAACAUAAAAAAAAAUUAAUGAAUCGAUUAAUCAACGCCUAAUUUAGACCUCGUUUACCAAUAUAUUCUUUAAAUAUUUGUAAAUAAAAAUUUGUAUAUUAAAAGAUGAAGCAGUGAAUAGUGGAUUGCUUAUCUAAAAUAUUAUUUCACAAAUUAAUGCUUUCAAUUUUUUAAAACUAAAAUUGUCACCCAUCACUUGACUGAAUAAACAUUAUAACAAUGAAAAAAUUCUUCUAGCAUAUUAUAUUAUAUAGAAUUAGCGUUGAAACCAUAUGCGACCUCAAUAAAUUUUUUAAUAAGUUGAAUAGAAAAAUUUAAUUGAAUUGAACGAUAGUUGAAGGUCCAUGCGGAUCUUUUUCUUAGGCUUCGUUUGAGAUUACCCGGAGAUUGCGUUAAGAACGGUGAGAAUGUGCGUUGAUCCCACCGGAGAACGCAGAAUCAUAUCUUUACAUAUUUUUUUUCUACAUUUUAUCUAAUAGAUAGGCUUCAAUUCCAAACUAAGCCUUAAAAAGUAGGUGGUGGCUUUAAUUUACGUGCUGCUGAAUUGGAUGGAGAAAGCAUGGAAUUAAAAAAUUAUUACAUGCACCGUCUUUAUCUAAUUGUAACGUGGGAAGGUUCUAUCACCCAUUCACCCUCCGAGGCUUUAGAGUUGGCAUUAUCCACUGGUAGGGCUGGCAAAUGAGCGAGCCGGCUCGCGUUCGACCCAUUCACCCUCCGAGGCUUUAGAGUUGGCAUUAUCCACUGCCACUGGAGUGGUUAUGGUGGUUGGAGUAGCAAUCAUACAAUUUCGUUGCAUUGUAAAGAAAUUGUGUUUUUUUGGGAAAAAAAUAAUACAUUCUCUUCUUUAUUUAGUUGUUUGUAUGAUGUUUCAGAGAAUUAUUUCCUUCUACACGUACUUCAAAAUUAACUGCAUUAUCACAACAUGAAUAAUUGUAGACUAUUAAACAGUUGUGCGAGGUUAGAACGUAUUUCAAAGGUUGCUCAAGCAUUUAGAUUUAUAGUUGAAUUCUCUCGUUGAAUACGCAGACAUUUAAAUUAGCAAAUCUAAUGAUGUCUCAUGUCUCUCAGUUUGUUGAACUCAUCAAAUUGAAAAACAUGUUGUGAUUCUUAGGCUUAGUUUGGUAUUGAGGUCUAUCUAACGCUAUUAGAUAAAAUGGAGUUGAGAAAAAAAUAUAUAUGGAUAUGCUUUUGCGUUCUCCGAUAGGAGCGCAGAAAAUAUAUCGUAACCGACUAAUCGCGAUUGCGUUUGCGAUAUGCAGAACGCAAUAUUACGUACGAAAACAAAUAAAAUAUUUUUUCGACGUACUUUCUCACCGCACGUAAUGCAAUAUCCCCGCAAUCCCAAACGAAGCCUUACUACUACCAAAUAUAGAAGGUUUUGAGUUUAAGUUCUACACAUCAAAUAUUCCAACUUAGUGGGACUCAACCCGGCCCGUUAAAUUGGGGACCGAGUAACCCGGCCCAAAUUUCCAAUUUGCCUUAAUCCGGCCCGGUCCAAAACAAUCCGGCCCAAUUUGUUGGCCCGGUCCCAGGUCUAAAAUGGCUAUACCAACAUUGGACAGGGCCGGGCGAGGACGAUAUAAAGGCCCACUGGUAAUCAGAUGAGGAACGAUAUCCAGCCCAAAAGCGGGGGGAGGUGGGGGAGAGAGAGAACGUUCUAAGGAAACCCUCGAGGAGGAGUCGCCAUGGAUCUCGUCCUCCACCUCCGCCUCCGCCUCCGCCACCGAUCGCUCCUCCUCUUCGUCGUCGUCCUCCUUGUCCUCAUCUCCUCCUAUGGAGUGACCGCCGAGGUUAUCACCCUCACCGCCGACACUUUCUCGGAUAAGGUAUACUCGCCGAUGCUCUCUCUCUCUCUCUCUCUCUCUCUCUCUCUAGGGGAUUCUGAUUAGAAACCCUUCUGAAUCGUUGAUGUAAACGUGAUGUUUGAUCUGUUAUGUUUAUCUUCCUCUGUAGUUAGGGCAUCUUAUUUAAUGUACUUUGUGUUUCAUAUAAAGAAAAAAAAAAAGCAUUCGAAGUAGUAAGAUCGUGUUAGGUUUUGUGUAUUUCCUUGGAAAAUACGUGCGAACGAUGUAAAUAUGUGUGGAACAGUAUGAUUUGAAUGGAUUUUAAUUUGUGGGAUUUGUUUCUCAUAUCUGGGAUCGUAUAAUGGCUGCAAAUAUAAUGUAAACGUGAUGCCCAGGGACGUCCUUAAAGAUAUGUGUGGAACAGUAUGAUUUGAAUGGAUUUUAAUUUGUCAGAUUUGUUUCUCAUAUCUGGGAUCGUAUAAUGGCUGCAAAUAUAAUGUAAACGUGAUGCCCAGGGACGUCCUUAAAGAUAGUGGUCAUUAGAAAUGCGGCAUAAUCCUGUUAGGCACUUCGUGAGUAGAGAUCAUUGGUGUGGAAUUGUGGAUAGCUCACUAUUCCUCGAUAUAGUGUUGCUUGACUUAUUCGAAGGUCCUCUUGAAUGUUGUUAGCUCGCUAUUCUCGAUAUAGUGUUGCUUGGCUUAUUUUAGAAGGUCCUCUUGAAUGUUGUUGAUGAGUCAGUAUUUCCAUGCGGUAGUAGAUUAUUGGAUCAACUUGUUAUACUUUGGCCUAAUUUACUAGUCACAUGAGAAUGCUGACUCAUCAACAGCAUUUGAGUAGAUCUUAUAGGGUACUCCAAGAAUUACUCUUGCGGAUAGAGAAUCUACGAUAUCUCAACCAUAGAGAUAGCAUCUUGAUCUAGAAACCUUAUGCAGGAUAUGUUCUUUUUCCUAUACACUACUUGACACACACUACUUGACACAGUGAAAUGUCUAAAGAUGGAAAGAUAAUCUCAAAUAGAAUGUUUGAGUAUUCAACUUAGCUCUUAGUAUAGAGGUGAGCCACUCUAUUUCCCUAUUUAGGACUGUGCUUGGUCCGGUUUUAGGGAUUUUUUUCCCUCAACCAAUCUGAAAUUUAUGGUUUGAAGAUCUUCAAAAUCAGACUGAACUAAAAUACUUCGUGCAGUGAGUCAAGCCAAACACAAAUCUUAUGGUUUGUUUUACUAUUCAACCUAGGGUGUAGAAAGCCCUUUCUCUCAGAAUUUAGAUCCUUCUCUUGUUUUUGAGUGGUGUUGAUUUUGAGACUAUGUUAGACAUGAUUUAUAACUAGAAAUAAUUUCCCCUUCAUUUCUAUGCAUGAAAAUUAAGUUGAUUAAUGAAAUAGUCUUAUUAGACAGUUAGAGUAAAUUAGAUUUAGCAGAUUUAGGAGGUUUUUCCAUUCUAAUAGAAAGGACGAAGCAUUCAAGCAUCUAAUCCCUGGAAGAGUUACAGCCCUCACUAGGAAAGUAUCACAUAGUUCAUAGUAAAUGUAUUUAGUUAUAUGCAGGAUUUCAACUUCAUAUAAGCAGUAGAAAGUCAUUUUGUGAACUAGGAGCUGUAGUAUUAUUAUAUAUGGGCAUUUUAUUUCCAAAAAUUGUAAAUAAAAUCAAAAUAUCUAGCCUUACUCUUCUUGCUCAUCGUUACAAUCUGUACAUGAGAAUCUUAACUUGUAUUUGAGGUUGAUCUUUUCUUAAGUAACAUUUUAUAGGAGGAUGUCCACAUUGAUCACUAGCUCAAGGGGAGCAUGAUUAGCAGCUUAUGACUUUAACGGUAGUCUGGUCAUAUCAGCGAAAUUGGUCUAAUUUAGACAUUGAGUUUUUCUGCGCAGCACAGAAAACCUUCUCUAAUUUCCAUCCUUUAGAAUUCAAAAUUUUUCCUGAUAAUGGUUUUAACUUGCUAGACUUUAUAAAUUCUACAUUGACUUCUUGAUGAUAAUAUCAAGAUAAGAAACUUUGACAGUCAUAACUCUUUGUUCAGUAGCUUACUAAGUUUUUAGCAGUAGAGUUCUUUGUAACUAUCUAUUGAGCUUUUGAAACUUUUCUUUUAUUAUGCAAGUUGCGAGAUUUUAAUGUGAUUUACCUCUUAUGUCUCAGAUAAAGGAGAAGGAUACUUUGUGGUUUGUGCAAUUUUGUGUUCCUUGGUGUAAACACUGGUAAAUACUCUAUGAUCUAAUAUGUUCCCAUUUUCACUGCACCGGCUAUAUUAAGUUUGGAAGCAAAAAAUAAAAAAAGAAAUGGUUUCAUGAUUCCCAUCUAUUUGACAUGUGGAAAUCAGCUUUCGCAGUAAGCUGGUGUUGUUUGUUAUCAAUUUUCUCUAAUUUGAACCUCUUCUUCAGUAAGAACCUGGGAACACUUUGGGCGGACUUGGCUAAGACUGUUGAGGGCGAAGAUGAAAUAGAGAUAGGACAAGUAGAUUGCGGUGCAAGCAAAUCUGUAUGCUCUAAAGUUGAUAUCCAUUCAUACCCAACAUUUAAGAUAUUCUACGAUGGGGAGGAAGUAGCAAAAUAUAAAGGUAACGACUUAUAAUUUAUAUGAUGUGUAUUGACAUGCAACCUGCUGCUCUUAAAUUUAAAAUAUAGCUGAACAAGCUGAAGACAUUGCUAUUUUUUGUUAUUUUUUGUUAUUUUAUUAAUGUUGCUUUAUUUGUCAACUCAAGCUAUAACCCGGCAUAUUUGCUUCUUCCGCUGUUAGAUUUUAGGCAGAGCGACCAAUCCGCUCAGUUUUCUUGGGUGUUCUCGUGAACUGAACUAUCAAAACAAAUUAGAAAACAAUUUUUUUUUUCUAAAAUAGACUUUUGCAAGCUAAUUGUAUUCGAGUCUUGAAAUAGAAUCAGUUUAAUGCAUGCAGGUAUGAUGAUCAUAAAUUUUAAGAUUAGUUGCUAAAAUAAGAAAAAUGCGAGAAAACUGUGAUGUAUUAGGAAAAUUGUGCAGGGAGUCAAUCGGAAGAUAAAAGCUUAUUAAUUUAAGAAUACAUCAGCAGAGCGAAAAUUUGCAUGCAAAAGAUUCCUAAAGUUUCCAAUAAUGUUGAACAUGUUGUCCAAAAAGGGGUUGGGGGGGGUGGGGAAGAAAAGAUCAACAUAUGUAGUAAGGAAGAGAUACCAACCCACCCUUGUUUUUGGGUUUCACUGACAUAUUCCUGGUUCACAAUAACUGUUAUUUAUGUUUCAGAUCGUAUUUCCUUCUUGUGUGCUCGGACCACCACAACAUUUCCUAGAUUUGAAUGUAAACAGUUUUGGCAACUCUUAAACUGAUGAAUCAUUUAUGCUUUGAUGCAUCAGGUCCGAGAGAAGUUGAAUCACUUAGAAACUUUGUUCUAGAAGAGGCAGAAAAGGCGGCACGAACAAAGCUGGAAGCUGAUAGAGAUUUGUGAUACUUUACAUGACAACUCGAGUCUUCUAAAAUUACUGGCACAGAAUAUAACCCACUCAGCAGUAGGCAAACCUGUCUUUCCGUCCCCUCUAAUUUUGGCAUUGUUUUUUAUCUUUUUCUCUUGAAUCUUAAGAGGAAAAUCAAUCCGAACAAUUUGUCUUGAUCAAGUGCAAAGUUGAUCCUCUGAAGGCCGAUAAUUGUGUCGAAGCGCGCCAAAUAUUUAUUCAGCGAGGCACUAGUAUGUUGAUGCCUAAAUUAUGGUCGGAAAAUUUUGCAAUUAGUAUGCUUAUGCUCGGUACGUGUAUUGCUUAAACUUUCUCAGCUAUAAGACUAUAAUGUGCUAUAUUCAAAAUUUUAGUGAUCUAUAUCUACUGUUUGUUUUGGUUAUUAUUUAUUUGUCCGAAGUUUGGUCUUUAUAUGUUGCCAAAUGCAUGACAUUGCUGGCAAUAUGCUUGAUAGGGAAUGUUUAGUUUGGCAAUAAAUAUGCAUGCAGGACGUCUGCGUAAAUUACAUUUUUCGUAUUUAAAUGCACAUAGGCUUUCGUUGCUCUAUUUGUGCCAUUCUCAAAGCUGUCUUUUUAAUUUUUUGUCUCCUAAAUGCAAGUAAAUUAGGUAUGACUCAGCAUCAGCAUUCAUAAGCCGAUAGAAUAACAUAUUUUAUUUUUUAUAAUUUAAUAAAAAUAGUAUUCUUUCAUUUGCAAAUAAUUUAUCUAAUUUUGAAAAAUAAUAUUUAAUCACAAAAAAUUUACUGAGACAUGAAAGAGUAAUUUCUUUAAAAUUUAUAGAAUAAAAUAUUUUGUUGUUAAAACAGAGCCUUAAGAAACAAAAAUAAUCUCUUUAACUUUCAAUUACACAAAUUUUCUUAAAAAUAUAUUAUCAUUAAAAUAUUUUGUUCUGCCAUGUAAAUAAUGAACUACAUAACAAAACCACGGUACAGUGCAUUAAUUGCUGAGCAGGCAACACAAAUAAAAGCUAAAGAUAAGCCAAUAAACAUAAUUUCUUUCAGCCACACGAGCAAUUUUGACAGCAAACUUAAGAUUAACAAUACGCAAUGAAUAACUCGAAAUCAAGUGUUUGGACUGACAUAAUAAUAUUCAUAAUAUUUAAGAGAAUCUAUAAUAGGAAAUCAAGUACUUCAAAUUAGAUAAGACACUCAGGCCUUUGACCUGCCACCGCCUAUCAAGUACCCAGUUCUGUAAAAAGCUGCUCAAUAAUGCCAGCAGCAUUAACCAAAACCUAUAGCACGCGACAAGAAUAACCAAACCGACGCUAAAUGAUACGAAGCACCCGAAGAUCUCAACAUCUGCCAUAUCCAUUGUUCACUUCUUCUUAGCAGCAGCCUUAGUGACCUUGGCACCGGUGGGAUCCUUCUUCUCGACGCUCUUAAUAACUCCCACAGCAACCGUCUGGCGCAUGUCACGAACGGCGAACCGACCGAGGGGCGGGUACUCGGAGAAAGUCUCCACCACCAUGGGCUUGGUCGGAAUCAUCUUCACGAAACCGGCAUCACCGUUCUUCAAGAACUUUGGCUCCUUCUCGAGCUCCUUACCGGAUCGGCGGUCGAUCUUGGUGAGAAUCUCAGCAAACUUAACAGCAAUGUGAGAGGUGUGGCAGUCCAGGACGGGGGCAUAGCCGUUGCCAAUCUGGCCUGGGUGGUUCAUGAUGAUGACCUGGGAGCAUAGCGACCGAUAAAUUUGGCAAGCCAGGAAAAAUUCAUUCAUUCUAAUAACGAAGAUGCAUAAAAAGUUUUUUUACAAAAUUUUCAACAAAAAAAAAAGAGGAAUAAAUUAAGACUAUACCUGAGAGGUGAAGCUCGCAGCCUCCUUGGCGGGAUCUUCCUUCGAGUUGGAAGCAACGAAGCCACGCUUGAGAUCCUUAACAGCAACGUUCUUAACAUUAAAGCCAACGUUGUCACCAGGAAGGGCCUCCUGAAGAGCCUCAUGGUGCAUCUCCACGGACUUGACUUCAGUGGUCAGACCGGUUGGGCCGAAAGUGACAACCAUACCAGGCUUGAGAACACCGGUCUCGACACGACCCACCGGGACAGUGCCAAUGCCACCGAUCUUGUACACGUCCUGAAGAGGAAGGCGGAGGGGCUUGUCGGUCGGGCGCUUGGGCUCCUGGAUCAAGUCGAGGGCCUCAAGCAGGGUGGGGCCCUUGUACCAGUCCAAGUUGGUGGAGCGUUCGAUCAUGUUGUCGCCCUCAAAACCCGAGAUCGGAACGAAGGGGAUCUUGUCAGGGUUGUAGCCGACCUUCUUCAGGUAGGAUGAGACUUCCUUAACAAUUUCAUCAUAACGAGCCUUGGAGUAUUUGGGUGUGGUGGCGUCCAUCUUGUUGCAGCAGCAAAUCAUCUGCUUCACGCCCAAAGUGAAAGCGAGCAAGGCGUGCUCGCGAGUCUGACCAUCCUUGGAGAUACCGGCUUCGAACCCACCGGUGGUGGAGUCGAUGAUGAGAACAGCGCAGUCGGCCUGGGAGGUGCCGGUGAUCAUGUUCUUGAUGAAGUCACGAUGUCCCGGGGCAUCAAUGACCGUGCAGUAGUACUUGGUGGUCUCGAACUUCCAGAGGGCAAUAUCAAUGGUGAUACCUCUCUCGCGCUCGGCCUUGAGCUUGUCAAGGACCCAGGCAUACUUGAAGGACCUCUUGUUCAUCUCAGCCGCCUCCUUCUCGAACCGCUCGAUGACACGCUUGUCUAUACCACCAAGCUUGUAGAUCAAGUGGCCCGUAGUGGUCGACUUGCCGGAGUCGACGUGGCCGAUGACCACAAUGUUGAUGUGGACCUUCUCCUUACCCAUGGUUGAUUACAAAAGUUUGCUGCAAACUACCAAUAGCAAAGCGGGGGCAAAGUUGAAAACAAGGGUAUUACAUCAUUUGCUGUCCUGUAAGCAUCUAAUCUAGUAAAAAUUAUACAUAAAUUCAGCCAACGAACCAGCUUCAGCUUCCUUAAGCCUACUCCAUGCCAUGAAACAGUAAAUUAUACAAAUUCAACAGUAAUUCAUUGUAUUCUCAUAGGCAGAUAAAUAUCAUAUUAUAUUACAAUCUAAAAGAUGCAAUCUCUAUCAAAUAAACAAAUAAAUCAUUAGAUGUAUAGUGAACAAUUAAGCUAAUGCUAAAAGGAGUAGCUUAAUUACCAACUAUCAGAGCUAAGAACCAGCAUCAGAAUGUCCAUUUUAAACCGAAUGAAUGAUGAACAAGUUAUGUUCCUUCUAAUCUCCUAUGCCCUUUCCUACAGUACCGCGAAUGCGCGAGACUAGAAGACAUAUCUUGUAUCGAUCACUCAUAUCGGCAACUUUGAUGGGAGAUAGAAUUUGGUCGCGUCCAAUAGGAUUUGAACCUAUACCCAAGGUCCGCAAAACCUCCGUAUGCUGAAGGUUUACAGAACCUCUGUCCUUUCCAUUAGACAAUGGACGCGCUUCAUCUCCAUAUGAUUCUUCCUCAGUUUUUUUAGUUAAAUAUGUUUACAGGACAUAAAACAGGAAUAAAAACCUGGCCUUGAUUAUAUUAAAUGGAGAUUCCAACAAACAUUUCACUUAUAACGAUAUUAGACUGUGAUAAAAGCAUACAUAACGAGCAAAAAUGUGUUGCAUGAUAGGUCUACUGCAUAAUAUUACAAAAAUUCUGCAAAUUUGACGACACAAGAGAAAUUUAAAUCCAACAUCAAAUUAAAGCAUCAACCACUAAAUUAAAUGAAAUUAGUACUUCCGCGAUUAGCAAACAACAACAACAACAACAACAACAACAACAACAACAACAACAACAGCUACAACAAAAUCUACGGAUCACCUAAAACCAAACAAAUGAAUUACAGAUCUACGUAUUUACAGCCAACACUUUUACCAACAACAACAAAAAUCUACGGGUCAACCAAAAACAAAGGAUUUAUAGAUCGAAAGAUCGGAGAAGCCCUAGCGAUCGAUCGCAAAAUGGACAAGCACCGAUCGAAGGAGACGAGGAGUAAGAUCUCACCUUCAGAGAAACGGCACGGCUCUCCCGCGAUGCGACCACGAGAGAGGAGUCGGCCAAGCAAAACCCUAGGGCUUUUCGAAAUGGAAAUGGCGAUGGCAAUGCAACUAAAACCCUCGGAGUGGGUUUAUAUAGAGAUCAAAGCUCAAUUAUGUCGGCUAGAGUCUCUCUCCUCACCGUUGGAUCUCCUCAUCGGACGGUUUAAAAAAUGGAGGGAUCUGGACCGUCGAUUCGAAUCCUGCGAUUCAUGUGAUGCCACGUCGGAUUACACCUUUUCGUGGCCCCCACGAGAUGCGCCAUUUCGGUUUUGGCCCUUACUUUUAUUAUUAUUAAUUUUAUUAUUGUUAUUCUUAUUAUUAUUAUUGUUAAGAUUUGUUUAUCUAAUUGACUUUGCAUAAUAAUAAUUAAUUAAUUAAUUAAGGGGUGAGAAGGAUAGUUUCUAAAAUGGUACCGUAAAAUUUACAAUAAACAUUACCAAAAAUAGUUGGUUGUUGAUUGUUAUUACUAUGCAUUGUGCUUUUUUUCCAAUUUUCAAAUUUACAACUUUAAUUUUAUUUGUAAUGUAUUAUUAUUAAAAUUAUAUAUAGAUUUAAAAAUAUAAUUGAAUAUAACUAUUAUCGUUGAAACUGCAUUAGGAGGCUUAAUUAUAAUAAUAAUAAUAAUUAGAAUUAUACCUAAUUGAUAAAGUAAUUCAUUUUUUUAAAUAACAAGCAUAAAGGAGUAUUUAUAGAAAUUUAAACUUAUGAGCAAUUUCUUAUUAAUUAAUAACUAAUAUAGGUUUUUUUAUUAGCAAAAAAAAAAUUAAGUGAGAGUAUGUCACUUUCCAUUUGCUCGAAGCUUCGACUUUUUUAAAAAUUUGUCUUUUUUAGUUAAUUUUUUUUUAGGGUUAUUAAAGUAGAUGAGGAGGAGAUUGGCCCUAAACUUGGUGGCCAAGUAUGCGGCACUAACUAGAUUAGGUCAAAAUGGUUUUUAUGUACAUUGGGGACUCCACCCACAAUAAUAAUUUACCUUUUUAGCCCAUUGAUGGACUUUGGAUAUGUUAGAUAUUUUUUUAGAUAUUUUGGAAACCGGUGAAUGAUGCGUCGGAUUCACUGAAAGUGGAGAGAACUGAAGUGGCUUCUAACCGUAAUUUUUUUUAUUGUUUGAUUCACCGUAAUUUCACGUGCAAUCAAAAUUUAAAAUUUUCAAAAUAACUAUAAAAAGAAUAAAAAUUUAACAUUUAUUUUUUAUGAAACAAACAACGAACUUUUUUUAAAAAACUUUAGUUUUACAGCAGUACAAAAAUAUAACAAAAACUUUUUUAUUUAAUUUGAAAGUUUACUUCAAUAUAAAUUUCAUUUUCGGUGAAACAAAUAUGCCGUCAGACAAAAAAAAUAGUAAUAACUGGUUCAGAGUAACUUUUUUUUUUGGAAAAACUUCAGAUACCCUCCAUGUUAUUUCGCACUUUCUCACUUUAGUAUCAUGUGGUUUAAAAUGUAUCAAGUUAGUACCUUGUAGUUUUGCAUUUUCUCACUUUAGUACCUUAUAGUUUCAAGUGUAUCAAGUUAGUAUUCUGUUGUUUAAUUUUUGUAUUAAGUUAUUACCCCGUGGUUUCAAUUUUCUCUUUUCAUUAUUCAUUUCAGGAUAUAUAUAAUUUAACGAAAUAUUAAACCACAUGGUACUAAAGUGAGAAAGUGCAAAAUCACAAGGUGCUAACUUGAUACACUUGAAACCACAUGGUACUAAAAUAAGAAAAUGUGAAAUCACGGGGUACUAACUUGAUACACUUGAAAUCACAUGAUACUAAAGUGAAAAAGUGCGUCCCUCCCCCCUUUUUUUUUGAAAGUAUAUUUACAUUGGUAAAACAUCCGAACCCACAGGAGCCACAUAGAUCAAACUCGAGUCGGACCACACUAUUCACCGACCGAGCCCGAUUUAAAUCCCAAACAAGGGUUUAAGUUUAACAACAUCGCCUCGCAUUUUCGCCUCAGAAAAAAGAUAUUACAAACCCCGACGACCUAUUUACCGGUGGUGCGCCCACCGCCCCCGCCUCCCCCCCGGGGCUCGCGCCAUCGACGAAACCCUAGCCGCCAUAAUCAUCGGCGAAGAGCUCCACCUCCACCUCCGAGGGCUACCUCGGAUGCCCCAUCCCCACCUCCCCUCGAUCGCGGCGUCGUCGAAAUGGUGAGCUUCGCAAAACCCUAAUAAUCUCAUCCUCUUCUUCUUCGUUUUUGUUUUCGAGGGUUUCGUGAUUUGGUGAUGCUUUAGGUGGAGUGUUGGGGCACGGGGAGUCGUGGUUGAGGAGCUUAGGUAGCGUAUUUGAUGAAUCUGAAAGGAAACGAAGAGAGGGGAUGAGAAAAAGAAAGAGGGAAAUGGAAAGAAAAGAUUGCAGCUUGAGACUGUUCUGAUUAGUAGGUGUAGCAUUUUGAUACGUACCAGAGGAUUUUGGAUGAUAUAUAACGUGAUUAGUGCUGAGUUUUUUGCUUUCUAAUUUUUUUCUGCAAAAUUGAACAUUGAUAUCUAUGAUUUACAAUAAGAUCAGUGCUGGAUUUUGACUAGCAUUUUAGUUAGCUUGAGGGAAAAGCUCUUCACGAGUAAAUAUUUGAGAAAUUAGGGCAUGAAUGAUAAGGUCCACAUGCAGUAGAUAUUACAUAUUCAACAUUCUAGAGAUUUGUACGGGAAACUUUUAUGUCGAAAUAUCUUGUCAAAAUUUGAAUUUAGUCUUAUUUUAAGAUUGAAUAUCUGCAGGCUACCCCUCUCAUAGCAGGACUUGCGGUGGCUGCUGCUGCUCUCGCUGGUAGAUACGGAAUUCAAGCUUGGCAGGCAUAUAAGGCUCGCCCAGUUGUUCCGCGAAUGCGGAGAUUUUACGAAGGUGGUUUCCAAGCUACUAUGACUAGGAGAGAAGCUUCUUUAAUCCUAGGAGUUAGGUGAGCAUUUCUUCUUUUAAAGAUAGUGAAAUAGUUGAGUUGUUGUACAUAUUUUCUCAGUAGAUUUUAUACCUUGAAAAAGUGAUAUUCCAUGUUAUACAUAUAGAUCCUGAGGUUUAAAAUGUCAGAAACGUGCUGCCUUCUAAUCGAGAUCAUUGGUCUUAUUUUAGAAAGAAGAGUUAUGCAAAAUUACGCUAGUUCCGAGGCUAUGUAAUUAAAGAACUUUCUAAAAUUUUUCUUAGAAAUAUGCUUUGUUAGUGAAAAUUGUGAAUUUUAGUCAAUUACCCCUCUUUCCUUGAAAUGAAAAGUAGUAGUUCAUUUGAUAAGGUAAUAUUCCUUUUUGUUUAUGGUACCAUUCCUUUUGUGUUUUUAAGUUCACUCUUGUUGUCUUAUAUGCGAUUGGCAGUUGAGGAUCUUGGAAUUCAUGUUGGAAUUUCUACAAAAUUUGGCAUUUUUGUCACCAGUUGACCUCAAAUCGUCUUGUCCCCCUUAUUGUCUUUAGUUGCCCUUAUUUCAAUAGUGAGGGCCAUUAGGCGUAGUAGUACUUCAGAAUACCGUUAAUUAUAAUAGCAGAAUAACAUGGAAAUCCUUUAGAAAGAUAAUGUACACCGUAAAAGCCAUUCAUGUAAAUUUGUAAAUACUGAUUGAUAAUAGCAAGCUACGGAGAGUGAGUAGUUUUUCUCCCCAAUCCAGAUCUUAGCUGGAGUUCUUAUUCCCUCUAGUCUGUCUGAUAUAUCAUUAUAGCAAAACAUAGAUGUGAGAUUGGUUAUCAUUUGGAAAACUCGGAAAAAUGAAUCAUGCAAGCUCAGUGCUAAUGUUUUGCUAUUUGCAUAUCGAGAGACAGUAUUGCUGUGUUCCAUUGGGGGAUUUCUAUUCCAGGAUACAGAUAGAUAAACCCCAUCGACAUUAGUUCAAUGUAUUAUUUUUAUUGCAUUUUGGAGGUUAGGUGUCAACGUUGCAUUAGAUGUCUUCCAACAGGGGUUUCAUAAUUCUACUCUACCCAAUGGAAUUUGCUAUCCCUGUCAAUGACCAAAUUUUCUCUUGCCCAGUUUUAGGCAUGUAGUUCCAUUAUAUUUGGUGGGACUAUGAAUAUAUAUACCAUUUUCUUCACUCUAACCCUAACCAAAUGCUAUCUAAUAGCUGUUAUCUUCUUUUUUAAAAAAUUAUGUAGAAAAUGCUCAUUACUCGAAAGUGCUAAUUAGGAAGGAAAAAAGAGUGCCUUUUCAUUUCUUCAAUAGCUCCCAUCUGAUUGAUGUUCUUCAUUAGCCUUACUGUUAAUAUGGUUCUAGACUCGACCAUUGGACGAGCCAGGUUAUGCUCUUAAAUUGUCCUCCGUCGUCGAGUUUCCUUUUCUCUGUAUGUCUUUCUUUCUGGUGACAUUCUUUUUGGUUUGCUUCAAAAUGGAAAUUUUCAUUCGCAACUAAUUUAACUACCUCCUCUUAUCCAUUCUUAGUUGCAGUUAUCCUCUUAUGACUUCUUUUUUUUCCGUCCACAGGGAAAAUGCGCCUCCAGAUAAGGUCAAAGAAGCGCAUAAGAAGGUUAUGGUCGCAAACCAUCCAGAUGCCGGGGGGAGCCAUUAUCUCGCUUCGAAGAUCAACGAGGCAAAAGACGUGUUGCUAGGGAAGACAAAAGGCGGUGGAUCUGCAUUUUGAUUUUUUUUUUUUUUUUUUUUUCAUGUUUUUCGUCAUAAAAAAAUAUUUAUUGAUGCUCUGAGUUGGAUUUUGACUUAAAACACCAACCUGCACCGGAUGUCGCUUAAACAUAGUUUAGUCAGAAUAUGUACCAUUAAUUUGUUUGGUACUGCUGAAUUUCAGAGAGGUGCUAGUAGUAAAAGACUACAGGAAUUGCUAUGCUGAGACUCAAUUUUGCUUCUGGGUUAUUCAGUGAUUGAAACUAACUGUUUAAUCUAAGUUCAAUCUGAACUAAAUUUUGGAAACACUUGAUGAUGUAACUCUGGUAUGCUAUGCCAAGUAAAUACUUGUGCAAGUGAUAUGGAGUCUUUGUCCUUUUAAAUUAUUGUUCUACAGUGCCUUUUAAAGAAGCAUUAAUACCAUUAUUUAAAAAAAUUAGAAACAAGAGGUUCAUUUCAGCUUUUUGUCCCAAGAAGUUGCUUUUUUUUUUUUUUUUUUUUUUUUUCCUCCGCGUAGAAAGAGUAGUUUCUUCGGCGGGGCCUUGCCAAUGCUUGGGCGAUGCUUUAAGAUUCGUGCGGAGUAAGAUCAGAAAGAUUACUGAAAUGAGGCCUAUAGGAAGAGAAAGGGCCUGGGUCUAAGUCAGCUGAUAUUGUGGCCCGCUACGUGGCUUUCUACGAUCGGGGCCAGAAGAUUCGCCCGUUAUUACCAUUUAGGGGGAGAACGGUUCUCUCUCGCUCGCGCGGCUCCGACCAUUUUGAAACGAAAACGCCCCCUGCGGAGGAGAGAUAAUGUCCGCGACCCGCGCCGCCCACGGAAAACUAGCCGUUAGGAAACACGCGUCCUACUCCUCCUCCUCCUCCUCCUCCUCCUCCUCCGCUCUGAGAUCCCAAAAACCCUAACCCUAACCCUACAUGGACGACGCGCUCUCCCCCGCGCCGUUGCCCAUCUCCAUCCCGAUCGAGAUCGUGAGCGAGGAGGAGAUGGCGUUCUUGGAGGCCGCCCUCGCCGCCGCGCUCCCUUGCGCCCUCUCCCCUUCUUCUUCUUCGCCGCGGGGGCGCCGCGCCGCGAGCUCCCUCAGCCGCUGCGCGGCGGCGCCGCCGCCGCAUUCUUCUUCGGCCGCCGACAUCGAGGACUCGUUGGCGACGUCGGCGCCGCGCAGGUCCCUCCUCCACCGGUUCCGGUCCAAGAGGGCGCUCAUGGUCACCGACGUCACCGCCGCGGUAUGGUUCUUGUUACAAAUUCUCCUAUUUGAUUCUCUUAGGGCGGAGAAGAAGAGAAGUUACUUGUUUUGAGAGUUUAUCUGUGAUAUCUUAUGUCUUUUUGGAACUUUGAUUGCGAUUCGAUUCAAAGAAUGAUUCGAAUGACGAAUUGUUGGUAAAUUGGAGGUUGGAAUGUGACUUGUUGUCUGAGAAUUAUGGGUUUGAGCAGAACAGCUUUGUCCUUUGCAAUUGGUCCCCAACACUUACCUGAGAUUUCCCUUUGGUCCUCAGCUCAUUAAAGUUUGUAGUUAGAUUCUAAAUGUUUGCUCAUUGUUUCAAUCAAGUCCCUUUGUUAGAAAAAACCGUUAAAUGGAUGGAAUUUCAACUUGGUAAAGUUUGGUGCUGAUGUGGUAGAUAUGGUUUGAUGCGACCUUUGCGGUUUUAGGUUAACAGACAUUUUGAUGGAAUGCACUUGAUUGAAACAAUUAAAAGAUUUGGACUGAAUGGUGCUCAUCAGCCCUGUUUCAUAGAAAUGGAAAAAAGAAAUACUAAGACGCAUGAAGCGCUAUUUUCUUUCUAUUUCUGGAAUGGGUUCAGAGCUUUGAAAUCUUUAAUCUUGAAAGUUUUUUAGCAAGCAAGACCCCAGAAAGAUCAAGAAAAGCUCGUACUUUAAUCUUUACUUUGUGCUACAACUCUGAAGGGUGAUGCUCAUUCUACAUGUAAUACUUUUUUUUUUUGGUUUAAUUUUGAUAUCUAUUCCCAAUCAUUCUAGAACUACUAUUAAUGUUAGGAAUACUAUCUGUUGAGUGUGCAUUUGCUAUGAUACUAUCUGAAGGUUCUGAUCCGAAUUAGGAAUGGUGCGAGAAGCAAAUGGAGUUUGUCCUCCUCCAUGGAAAGCCUAGAAGAACUAAAGCUAUGAAAGCAGGUUCUGAUCGCCAUGCUCAACUUGAAAAUGAGGUUAGUAAAGCAGGAGACAGGGAGCUGAAUACUUUCUUCCUUGCUUGUGGGAUAUUAUUGCCAAGAGUUUAUUUAUUAGAUAUUUAUAAUGUUUCUUUUUCAAUUGACGCACAUGAUCUUUCACAAUGCUUUCUGGUGUUCUAUGAUUUUCUUCACUUAUUAGAUGAUUGCUGUUUUGCAUCCAUUACUUGCUGAAGGAAAAGACUUCUUUUGUGUUUUCCUGCAACUGUGCAUAGUUUUUCUGAUAUGUCCAGUCUCUAAGCAGGUAAUAGAAAAGGUGGACAUAGUUAUCAAGUCGGUCGAAGAAUCAUGGGCUGUAAAAUUUAUGAACUUCAUCAUUGGAGCAAACCAACUACUUUUCGAAGGCUUAACUCGUGAGCUUCCAGUGUAAGUCUACAUACUUCAGUCUAUGAAUAAUUGAAGAGUGGCUCUUUAUUUGUGGGAUAUAUGUCUUUCUGUUGGACAAUUAGAUUCUUUAUUUUCUUAAUUCCCUUGGAAUAUUUUAGUUCAAUUUACCACUUAUAAAAUAUCAACUAGAGUGCAAAAAGAGUGAGUAAUUGCUGAAACAUUGUUUUUCACUACUCACUACUUUUAAAUCGAGAUUGUUUUAGUUUAUCUUCACUGCUCUCUGCUACUCUUCCCUUCUUAUUUACUUUUAUCAAUCAAUUUCUUUGCUAGAAUCUUCUUAUGUAAUAUCAAACCUUUUCAAAUCUUCUGCUGUAAUAAUAGUAUCACUUUUUGACUUAUAAAUCGAAUAAAAAAUUGUUCCUAUUUGUAUGUAUAUAUGAUCGGAAUGCUUUUCCGUCUAGAGAAAUCGUUUGUUUGAGCUAUGACUUGACAGCAUUCUGAUGGUUUGCAUUUGUAUUGCAUCAGAAUAGGAGUGGUUGAAGGCACAUGGAUGAUCGGUGUAAUUGAUGAAAUUCGAUUGCCUUUAGAUAAAGCUAUUCCAAACCCUAUUAUAGUGGACACGAAGACACGCCAUAAGGCAACUCUUCCUUCGGAAGCACAAAAGAGAAAUGCAAGGUUCGUUCUAUUUAUUUAUUUAUUUUUCUUGCUUGACUGUUACCAUCUCACGAAAUGCCUUUCUUAAUAAAUGGCUUGCAAGUAGUUUUCUGAUAUAAAUUGGAAUUAGGGUUUGGUUGCAUUAAGUGUACGGGAUUGCUAUGUCUUCCUAUUUGCUAAGAACUGAUAAGCACUGUUAAACCAAAUUUCCAAGCGUGCAAUUCAACUGCUGCAUAAGAUACUGAAGUGGAGGUAUUAAUCUUAGAAGAUCACCACUUUAAUAUCAUUUGAGAACAUUUUGGGGUUGACACAUCAAAGUAUAUUAGCAAUCACAUUGUGGUACAAUGCUAGACUAUCAAAAGAAAGCUAUACUAUUAAAAGAGACAUUCUAGCAUUUAUUGAUGACCGAGCAAGAACAGAAACUCUGUCGCAUUUAUUAAUGUGUUAAUGUGCCGCAUAAAAAAUAGCAUCCUUCUCUUUGUAUACCUGCAAGUUUUGAAGUAUUGAGCAUCUUAUGAUUUCUAGGAUGAUGGUACAGUUACAGUUUGUUAAAUGACUUUUGAUUUUGUUUGAAUAGCAUGACAUCUGAUAUUGUUGGUUGCUCAUGUUCAUGGUAGGCUUCAGUUGAUGUGCUACAAGUAUUUAUGGGACAGUUUGACUGCUGAGCAGUUCUCUACUUACGAUUUCUUCAGUUAUUUUAACUUAAAUCCCCAAUAUAAUCUAUCUGGCAUUGUCAAGGAGUACAUUAGUUCAUUGGGUUUCCACGUGAAGGUAACUUUUCCCCUUAUGUACAUUUAAAAAGUUAUUUUCUUGUCUUUUGAUUUACUUUAUCUUCUUCAGUAGGCAUAGGACCAAUCACUUAAUUACACGAAUGUUAGUCUAUUAAUUUUCUGGCAUAAAAUUGCAUAUUCUUGACCUAAGUAUUUGUUUCGUAGAAUUUUCUGUCUGACCAAUUAUUAAAUGAUUUUGCUUUCGUGACUGUUUUCUGUUACUAUACUUUGAAAUAAAACCUCUUAGUGUUUCACAUAUACUCCUUAUUUGAUUACAUUUCUGUUUUUUCGUUUUCUAAAAUGAAAUUCUAAACCCGAUUGAAUGUGCCGGUAGAUGGCAGAUUAUUGGCAAUCCAUACAACUGUUGGCUUAUUUGGCAUGAAAAAACAACACAUUAUGAGACGCUUUUCAGAUCCGGAGAUGGAGCAUCACAAGCUACCGAACAAAGACGACAAUGUAGAAUUCAUCUGCCAUCGCAUUUAAUAACAUGGAAUUUGAGUUCAGGAAAAAAAGGGAAAAAAAAAAGUGAAAAAUGGAAGCAUAGCCAAAUAAGUUAUUAUAUUCUCAAUAUAGCUAUGACAUUAAGUAUCAAAAUGUUCCAUCUGCAGACACUUGAAGACGUCUUUACAUAUUUUAGGGAAACCUGUUGUUUGCUUCCACCAUCUCAGGAACAGCUUCUCUUGAGGUAAAUAUAACUAAGUGUGACGUCGUUGAAACUUGAAAACAGAUAGUAACAAUGAGCAGAUGGAGAGACAAACGUGAGAGAAUUAUUAGAAACUUGCUGUUUUUUUUCCCUGAUGCAGAUAUGAAUUGCAAUCGGAUAACUCAUUGCUUGAAGAAUAUUUUUUCUCCUACGAUCCCAUCUGGUUCAAGGAUCAGGUCCAAGAAUGCUUAAAAUUUUGGCUUGGGGAGAGGGAAGCUAAGUUUGUGUCGGAGGAUGAGAAGUGGAAAUGCCACUUUUGCAAAUUUACUUCCACUUGUCCUAUGACAGCUAUUCCGGAAAAGUAACAGAAUAACUAGGUAAUGUGAUCAUCUGCUUUCUUAAACUAGAUGUUGGCCUGCCCAUUUAUUCUUUCUCCCUGCUAAUAAAACCCAGUAAUUCUUGCAGUAAGAGUGUAUAUGACUGAGUCAUCCUACAAAAUUACUAGACCUCCACUCUGAAGUACAAACUCAGUGCUUGGAGAUUAAGCUCAGAAGUAAAAUGCUUGAUAGCGAACCUCACUCCGAGUCUGGUGAUUUUUUUCUUCCUAACUUAAAUCCUGUUGCUUGCUGUUCUUCCUGUGUUUGCUAGUCUAAGGUUAUGCCAUAAAAUUCUUGGAAAUUUAGUUAUGAUUUAAUUCUUUCCACUGAGAGUUUUACCAAAUUUUGUUGAUUGUAUUCUUUAUAAUGUAAGAAGGGAAAUUGUUGCAAUGCUUGAUGUUACAUUGUACCUUGUAAAUUGUAUCAGGGAGAUGUUUCUAAGAUGAAAUCAAUCAACAAUAUUUGCAUAAAAUGUUUAUACUCAUAUAUGAGUGAAUUUGUAGACAUAAAAUGUAGCGGUCGCUUAAGGCCUACAUUUUUUGCAUUUUUUUUUACUUUGUCACUCCGUGGUUUAAAAAGUAUAUUUUUGUUUUACCGAAUCACCUGCCCUAUCAAAUAGGAUAUCACAGUGAUUUUUUUUUUUUUCUUUUUGAAACCACAGGAUAGUACUUUGUUUAACGAUAGAUUUUUACAAUAAAAUUAAAAUAAAAUCACAAGAUAAGUGUAAUUUUUUUAAGUCAUAUGGCAGCAAUGAGUAUAAUUAUAGUGAUAGUUAAGCAUAAUUUUUUGAACCAUAUAAUUUAAAAAUGCGUUAUUCUUCUUAAGCUCUCUCUCAUAUAUGUAUUGUAUUAUAGUAUACUGGUCAUCCUUCUUAAGCUCUCUCUCAUAUUUAAAAUGUUUGAUCUCUUAAGGAUCUGUGGUUGGCUUAAUAGCUUUUAAACAGGAAUUAGCACUUAUCUUUUGAGACCUACUAUUCAACUCAACUCUACAUUACUAGAUAAAAACAUGAAUGAUGAUAGUGAGCUUUUCCUAACCCAACCAAGCACAAAGGAAGAUACAACCACACAGGUGAGGUGAGUCAUAGCUUUACUGGGGACAAGUAGGAUGUCACCCAUUGGCUAUGAUUGGAACAGUGAAAGCCAUUCAUCUUCGCACGAAAAGUCUUAUUUGGAUGCAUGAUGGAGAUAGGCCACCUAGCAUUUGAGUACCUUAUGUUCCGAGGCCACAGUAAACCUAAGCUUUUUUAUUUGUAACUGACCUUAUAUUAAAUGAUAUAUCUAUAUGUUGUGGUCAAUAUUUUAUUGCGGAAAAGGACAACUCUGUUUUGUGCACUAGAGAUUGAUGCUGUACAGCUAGAGUGCUUUUGAUUUCACCCUCAACGACCAGCACACUUCCCCCACUCAAAACAGCUUUUGCGUUUCUUUUUUAACGCAUCAAAAACAGGGCUAUACUACAGGACGAGCCUCGGAUUCCGUACCGUAACGAGCACGUCCCUCUAUGUGAGGUAACUAAUUUGGUAUAUUUUGGUAAGUGCUUUGGCUUUUUAUGUUUAUUGAUUUUGGUAAGUGCUUUGGCUUUUUAUGUUUAUUGAUACUUGCUUGUAGAAUUAAUUGUGUGUAAAUUUAGUAGUUUUAUUAAUUAUUGGUACUUAUUUGAAUUGAGAAAACUAGUUAGAGCUGUGAAAUUGGUGGCAUUAAUACUCCAAUUCGGCAAAAAAAAUUCUAACUUAAUUGAUUCAAAUAACUAAAGUUAAAAUAAAUAACAGCUAAAAAUUGCAUCAGUAGAAAAUAAAAUUCAGGAGUAACGAAAACGUGAGCCGUGAGGGGCCUCCACACGUUUUCACUCAUUUGUUUUGUUAUGAAGCGUUCCCUUGUCACGAUGCAACGAUUUUAUUACACAACAAGAUUUGGGAAUCAGUGGUGAGUCACCUUCCCUUUGGCUUUUACCUAAACAAUUUCUUUCUAAUAUAUACCAACUAUAUCUUAUUAUUAGUGCCCAGCUUUAAAAGGGCCCUGGGGAAUAGGACCCCUCACAUAAUAAAAUACAAAAAGGAAAGAGGGGAAAAGAACAAAAGGAUCGAUCGGAGUUAAAAGAAUAGCCAAUAUAAUCUCAAUAAAUAAUAUUGCUUGGUGGGGGGAGACCUCUGAUUCCCUCACCCCUCUAAAAACAAAAGAACCCAAAGAAUUUUGGAAAAACUAGUAAUAACUUUAAUUCCUUCAUUUUUUUUUUCUCAUUUACAUAAUUAACUCCCCCCCAAACUCUCUUCAAUCUCUCUCUUUCUCUCUUUCAACUGUUCUAUGUCCCGUUCUCACUUCGGUUUGAAGGGAGAGGAUUAGUCCUUGGUACGUGGAGUUGCCACAGCAUUAUUUGGGAGCAAUCGGAGGGGAUCCCCUUGAGCUUUGUAUCAUCUUCUAGUACUACCUCUUGGAGAAAUGUAAUGGAGUCCUGAGAACAAAAUAUAAUUUUUUAUUAGCGGUUAUAUUGGAUCUAUGAUACAGGGAAUAUGUGCAGGUGCAGUGGGGCUGUGGGCGGGUGAGGUUUCUUAGAAAGUGUGGUUCAUAUUGGGAGAGUCCCAAUCAAUGGACCCUCCUACAUAAUAUCGCUUGCUAGGGUUUGGUUUUGUUGCAUGUAGAGCAUUAGGUGUGUAAUCAGUGGUUGCUUGGCUCUGGGGAUUAAUGACAGGGCAUUAGGUGACUGGUUACAGUUUUGAGGGAAAUAAUUGAGAGUAGAUGCUAUUCUUUUAGACCAGUUGGUGGUGAUUGAAACUUUACCUAAUGUUCCAACUGAAAGAGACUAAUAUCAUGCAUCUCAUGCAAUUUCUGGUGCUUUUUCGCUUUCGGGGCAGCUUCUCUACCAACAUCGUCGGUUUUUGGUCGAUAAAAGAUUCUAAAUAGGACUUUUUAACUUUGAAUUGUAGGAAAUUCCAGCUUAAACAUGCUCUCGAGCUAAAUCUAGAUGUGUUGGGCUUGACCAGACUCGAGAACAAUCUUUCUAUUCAAGGAGUAGAAGUCAUGGAAAACAAAAACUACAGGAAUUUCUACUAUGAAACGGCUAAGAUGUAGUGUCGAUAUCCAUGUUUAUGUGUACGAUGAAUAAGAGGAAAAAAAAAAAAAAACUAUUGGAGAUAUGCAAUGACCGGAAAAGGCAACAGAAGAGAUAAAACAUAAGAAUUUGGCUGACAGAUGUCGGAAAUUGAAGAAUUUGGCCGAAAAGAUCAAUCUAUGGAGAUUACCCAAUCAGUUACCGUAACUUAUACAGUUGGCUAAAAAUUUGAUGGUUGGUCUAAAGUUCGCCCCUUAGUUACUUCACAUUUUUUAAAAACAUAAACAAGCAGAUAGGUUGCUAUUUUCACUCUCUCUCAAGACAAUUAGAUUUACCCAAUCAUAGCUUUGUUUAAAAAAAUAUUGAUGAAGAAAAGAAAUGUAGUAGUAGUUAUGGGGAAAAAAAGGGACUUUCUUUGCAGGUACCAAAGCAGGUAACAAAUGCUCUGACAAUAUAUGUGUAUCAUUAUCCCUUAAAAACUUUGGAGCUAUCCUUCCACUUAAACCAUGAACCAAUAUGCCCAACACCAGAAACCUAACGUGCACCCAACCUACAAACCCUAGAAUUGUGGGAGGAAAAAAAUAUUGCUAUGUUUCUUAUAUAGCUUCCUAUAAGCAUGUGUGUUAAGCCUAUCAGAAUAUGUGUACAGCUAUUUUAUAUGUAUAAACAUGGGAGGAAUGUAGCAUUUGAAGGCAUUAUUCUGUCAAAGGAAUAGACACACCUCUUCAUUUUCCUAAUCAUCAAAUGCAAAAUACAUGCUGGCAUAAUAAAUUUAAUCCCCUUUUUCAAUUUGACUAUCAUAUUUCUUUUGGAAAGUUCAUUUUUUGUUCUACUUUUAUCUAAAAAGGCAUGAUGAAUUAAUUUGCGUCAAAUCAUAAAUACUUUUAAAAGGUUUAAAAAUUGAGGAUUUGUCUCUACAGUAGACUACUACUAUUUCUAAGCAUGAAGUGAUUAUUUUUAAUAGUAAAAAAGUCAAAUUUAGCCGAUCAGCUGACGCAAAGAGAUGAACACUAAUUCUAAAAAUUGAAAAUGACGACUAAAUCAUUUUGAUGAACACUUAUGCCCAAUUUAAUAUACCGGUGUCUUCAAUACUAUAAAAGGAUGGUGAAAAGUACUUGCCGGUUUUUUCCACGGCAGCUUUCACCAUCAUUUUUUUUAUAACAGUAAAAUAUUUUAGAUUGAAAGUGCUUUUGAUUUUUUUUUUUUUUUCUCCUUUAAGACAUCGCAAUCCUAAAUCAGACCCUAGUCAUGUAACUAAUUUUUUUCUAAUUUAUUUGUUCAAAUUAAGCACAAAAAACAAAGGGAAGGGGGGUGGGGGAUUUUGUUGUUCUAACCUGCGACGUGUCCGGCACGGUGGUGGGUCGGCCCCAGCGCUCCGGGUCCCACAGUAUGGAGCUGUUGAAAGCGAAGCGCGGGACGCGCAUCUUCGGGAUCUUCAAGGAGGUGUAUGAUGAUGAGGAGGAGCCCGUUGGCUCCGACGACCCAUUGGCGCUCGCGUCGUCGCUCUCCGCCGCGGAAGCCAUGUCGACCUUCCCCACAUCCUUCGAGAACCACCCCACAAUUUUUGACGACUUGCAAAUCGGCCCCUCCACCACCACCCUCUCCCUGUUCGCCGACACCAUCGCCAUCGGCCAUGUCCCGAACACCCUGCUCACCCAAAAAUAAAAGAACGUCCGGUUUAAAAUCUUCUAUUCUGAUGCCAUAUAAAAUUAUUCCUUUAUUUACUCUAUCUAACUAUUACAAUUACAUUACACUCUUCAUGGACAGUACAAAAUAUCCAAUCAAAGAUUCCCUGUAUCAGCAUGAUGCAAACAAGUAAUAAUAAAUGCAAAAUGUCAAAGUUAAAAGCAUACAUUAUUCAUAACAAUGAGAGAUAGAUAUUUAGUGGUUAAAAUAAUAAUACAUGGGAAUCUUAAAUAGUUGUUAAGGUAUUAGCAUCUGAUGUGAAGUAUUUGUUAAAGAUUGCGUGAUCAUUUCCCAUUGGUUGUUAAAUAUAAUGGAAAGGAUAUAUUAACUAACAGUGUUAAAAACUAAUGACCAUGUGUAAAUGUGGCAUUAGGUUGACCGCCACGUGUCCGGGUUGUAGAAACUUCCAAAAGCUAGGGUUGUUUAGGGGAAUUGGCACCGAAUUAUAUACUGCUGACACUGGAGGAAUGUACAUGGUCCUUUCAUUUGUUUUGUAACAACCAAAGUGGGGAGCAUGUGCAAAAGGUUAAAAAGAUCACACACUACGUUAGCUGGGUGAGAAUUUAAGAGGAAAGUGCUUAGAAAAAGGUAAUGCUUUAUCUUUUCCUCUUCUCUCAAACAUAUAAACAGAUGUAGGGGAACAACUAAAGGUGUUUUAUAGAAUAUGAAAAAGAAAAAGGAUGUUGGAGGGCAACUUCUAUUUGGGGGUCAACAACAUUUGCAAGGUUGGACUAUCUAUUAUAAUGGUAUAAACAUAGAAUCAAUAUUAUUUUUUUCAAAACAAGAUCAUAGUUGUUUAAUUUUGUUUCUAAAUAAAAAGAAAACAUGAAACUUAUAAUGCAGAGAAACUAAAGAACAUAAGCAAGAGGACAGAGGAAAUGGUGGAGAAAGAUGAGAUAAAAGGAUCUGUACAAUGUUUGAAGUAAUAUACCGUGUACCUCAUAAGAUACCCAAAAUAAAUAAUUGAGAAAUAAGAUUUUGAAACAUAAAGAUUCUAAAACAUAGUAAAUGAGGAAAUACUAAAAAGUAUUAAAAGAAAUAAUAUAGAACUGAUUUAUCAACUAUAGCUUUAAACUUCGGUAACAAAAUACUUAUGCACAUACGAAGAUGUUAAUGCUGUUAAGGAGUAGAAUGCCACAUCAUGAAGCAUAUAUGUUUAAUUACUAUAUUUGGUCAAACAAAUUAUUUUUCUCAAACCAACAGUGUUCCAUCCUAUGAUUAGGCAUCUUUACCGAAGCCACAGUAUUAAAAUAAUAAAUACCAGCUGCUAAUUAAGUAGCAAAAACAAUCAAAAACCCACUUCCCACAAAUGAAGUGUAUUAAAGAAAGAGGGAAUAUUACUAAGGAAAAUGCACAAAUCACACAAACACAAAGUAUUCCUAAAAAAAAUAACUACUUACUAAAAUGAAUAGAUUUCCUAAAACAUAAACUUUCAUAGUAAGACUAAAUACAUUGAAAAAAAAAACGAAUCUCAUAUUUAGGUAAGUAGCUAUUCAAAAAAAGAAAAGUCAUUUAGACAGGUUGAAAGAAAAAAAAAAACAAAAAUCUCAUAUUAAAAAACAAACAAAAAAAAGACCCCCACAUCCCCACCAUAAAUGAGGUUAAUAAAAAAA
This 51293-nucleotide long non-coding RNA is filed under the name Ananas comosus (pineapple). RNAcentral's name for it is "long non-coding RNA (ACOM_LNC007894)". Lineage: Eukaryota; Viridiplantae; Streptophyta; Magnoliopsida; Poales; Bromeliaceae. The record is from RNAcentral.